RNAcentral lists this long non-coding RNA (55045 nucleotides) under Ananas comosus (pineapple). RNAcentral describes it as "long non-coding RNA (ACOM_LNC019676)". The record is from RNAcentral. Lineage: Eukaryota; Viridiplantae; Streptophyta; Magnoliopsida; Poales; Bromeliaceae.
AUAUUUUAUCUACGAGGUGAUUUAUCUUAUUUAGAAAAAAUGAUUUGAAGGCUGAAUAUGGCAUUCCAUUCUAAAUAUUUCAUCACACUCCUUAUCAAUCAACUAUACAAAUUUCUUUAGUAAGUCAGUGAGAUAUAUGGAACAAAAUAUUCAUGCAUCCAAAUAAGGCCGAAGACAGAUUAGAUGCAAUGAAUUUGGUCAGAUUCAGCAAAUUCAAUCAGCGAGAAAUAGCUAAAUUCACUUAAUCGCCCUGUCGAUAGUAAUUGGCGCUGCCAAUAUUAUCAUCUGAUGACACCACUCUUAACAGUCAACUCUCAUACAAAAUUCAGGAAAACAUUAGUAACACCAAAUACUUGGGGAGAGUUCCUUAUCCAACCACCAAUAAGACGACUUUAACUCCAACGCAACUAAUACAAACCAAAUUGGGUCAAUACUCAAGGUAAAGAACACCACUUCGAAACCAGUGCAAUCAAACACAAGCAUCACCUGAUGUGAGGAUGGUAUCAAGAACCCUAAUCGCCUGCUCCUCUCCGAGCGGCUUCGUUUGCUCCGGGCCCGUGCACACCUUCGCCUGCGCCUCCAGCACCGUCCGAUUCGGCUGCGGGAUCUCCGGCGGCCGGUACGAGGUCGAGAGCGCCGGGUUCCGGAGGUCCAUCUCGAGGAGCCCCGCCUCGUCGAUCGCCGCCGCCGCAGACGAUCCGGCCCUCGUACGGGUCAAGAAGCGAAGGGAGCUGGGGUUCUUGGAGAGGGAGAGGCUCGCGCGCUUCGUGGGGAGGGAGAAGGAGGGGAAGUUAGGGUUAGGGUUGGGGUUCGGUUUGAGGAGGAUCUUCAUGGUGUGGUGAGAGAGGAGGUGGGGGAGGAAGAUGUAGGGACUGGGCUGGUCGUCGGCCUCGGUGAGCUACUGAGCUCCUCGAUGAGACGAGCUGGGAGAAACGGAAGGACUUCUUUUUUUUAAAUAAGGACUUUUUUACAAAAUAACCUUCUACAAUAUUAAAAUUUGCCAAUUAUCCCUUUCAAAAUUUUAUUUUGAAAACUAACACUCAUUUCGCCACGUAGGCACCAGGAUGGGUAUUUGUUAUGAAGGCAGCAAAUCGUUCACCGCCCGUCUUCCUAAUAUAACUUUAGAAGACGGUGAAUGAUUCACCACCUUCACUAAAACGGUAAAUCAUUCACCGCCUUUAGUGUAAAUUUCCCACCACGCAACUUAGAAAUUUUCUAAGUCGUAAAGGGAAUAAUGUACCUUGAGAAGGCGGUGAAUCGUUCACCGCCUUCAUUAGAUAUACCUCAUCCCGACACCUCUCCUUCUCUCUCGCGCUUUCGUUCUCUCUCUCUCUCUUUCUUUUCAGGAGCGCUCGUCGGUCACCGCCGCCCCUGCCGCCGUCGCCCCCGCCAGUCAAUGAUCGCCAUCCCCCCCACAGUUGCCCCUGCCAACCCCGCCGUUGCCCCUGCCAACCCCGCCGUUGCAGGUAUUGAGAUUGCUACCUGCCAGAUUUUCUGUGUAUAUUUAGUUGAAAUUUUCAGUUAAUUAAGUUUUCUGGAAUUAAAACCCAAAAUCAUUCUUAGCCCCGAUGCAACAAUAAGACUUAGGAACCAUUAUUAGAGAAAACUUGAAUAUACAACUAUUCAUUAGAUAACAAUCAACGAAAAACUACAUUUCAGAGUAAGAAAAACUUAUGGGCAAUAUUAAUGGAGUAAACGAUGUCAUUUUUCUCCACUUUCCUUAUUAAAGGCUGCGUUUGGUUCAGGUAUAAGUAAGAACCGCUAGUUCCAGAGAUAGAUACAAGUUCAGAUAUAACCAGGAACUAAAUCAAUUUUGCGUUUGGAUGAAAAUUGGGUUGUUCCUAGGAAUAAAUUAAAUAGUGUUUGGAUGGUUAGAUUGGAACAAGAGGAAUAAGAGUUAUAAUUUAAAAUUAAAAUUAUAUUAUGUAAUUAAUUAACAUCAAAAUAUUACUUAAAAAUAGAUAAUAAAUUAAUCAUUAAUAGUUAAUUAUAAAUAAUAAUAAUUUUUAAUAAUUAAUUAUAAAUAAUAAAUUAAUAAUAUCGAUUAUCUAAUUAAUAAUAAUAAUAAUAUCAAUUAUCUAAUUAUUAUUAAUAUUUAUUAAUAAAUAUUAAUAAUUAUUAAUAAUUAAUUAUUAGUUAUAAAUUAAUAAUAAUAAUUAUCUAAUUAUUAAUAAUUAAUUAUAAAUAAUAAUAUAAUAAUAAUAUUGAUUAUCUAAUUAUUAGGGAUAAUAAUUAUUAAUAAAUAAUAAUUAUUAUUAUUAAUUAUUAAUAAUUAAUUAUUAGUAAUAAAUUAAUAAUAAUAAUUAUGUAAUUAUUAAUAAUUAAUUAUAAAUAAUAAAUUAAUUAAUUAUGUAAUUAUUAAAGUAAUAAAUAAUUAUUUAAAUAUAUUAAUUAGAUUAAUUAAUAAUUGAUUGCUAUUAAUUAACCUUAUUCUCAUUAAGGAACAAGCUUGUUCCAGCAAACUAGUGGAACAGCAGUUCCAGCCUUAAUUAUUCCAGAAUUUUCGGAACUGCUGUUAUCGGAUACCAAACAUCACGUUUGGGAACAAAAGAGGGAACAAGGGCUUAUUCCCCCCUUUGUUCCCGAACCAAACGUAAAGGUUUAGGAUGGGUGUAAAAACUAAGUUUAAAAUGGUUAAUCUGUUGCCAAUUUUACAAUCGGUGUAAAACUAGAUUUAGAAAGGUUAACUCUUUUCUUCUAUUGGGAGUAGUAGUAGUCCUAUUCAGAUUCAACUUUUUGAUAAAUAUGAGCUCUUUCCUGUUAAAACUCUCAAUGAAUUGAAGCGUAAAAUGUUAAAAGUUUAUCUCCCAUUAAGCAAUCAAUUGGUGAAGAAUCCAAGUCAGAAUAUGGAAAGCAAAGACAUCUCUACUUAAUAACGACAUUCUCAGUUUAGAAUGUCUUAUAAUAGAUAAGAAGGUCUUUAUCGCAUUUCAUUCCUCAUAAUUUAUAAAAAAAUUUAAAAAAAAAUUAACUUUUCUUUGUUAUUUAAUUGCUUGCAUUAUUGUAUUUCAACAGAGAUACGCGAUGCAAGCAACUAUUCAUAAAUACUAUGCCGAAUACUUUAGAUCUUUAAUUAUUGGAGGAUCCAUGUAUAUUGUCGAAAAUUUUAAUCUGAUCUUGGCAAAAAAUAAUUGCGAUGUUGUUGAUAAAAAAUAUAUGAUGCAAUUCAGCAAAAUGGACAUGUUUUGUCAAAGUAACAGAUGGCAUCGAAACGUUUUCACUAUACAAUUAUUUCUUCGUCAAGUACGACUAUAUCAAAACUAAGAAACAAACUGCAUCCUGUCUUAUAGGUACUAUUUUUUUAGGAAAACUUUAAAACUCUUCCUAUGGUUUCGCACUUUCUCACUUUAGUACCAUGUGGUUUAAAGUGCAUCAAGUUAGUGUCCCGUGGUUUCAUUUUUAUCUUUUCAUCAACUUUUCCGUUAAUAUUUUGUUAAAUUAUAUACAAAAAACUUUAGAUACCCGACCUAGGUUUAUCGAAUAUUCACUUUAAUACCCUUUAGUUUUAAUUUUGUCGCUGAUUUAACAAAAAAAAAUUAGUGAAAUCAAUAAUAAAAAAGAUAAAAAUGAAACCACAGGACAUUAAAUUGAUACACUUUAAACCACAGGGUACUAAAACGAGAAAGAGUAAAACCCCAAGGGGGUAUUUGAAGUUUUUUCUUUUUUUUUAACCUUUUUAUGGCAAAGCAUAAAUUAUCCAAAUAAAUUCCUUUAUGUUUGGACUUUCUCACAUGUUAUAGAAACCAUUGUAGCUACUGCAACUGUCUCCUAUACGUAUGUUACACAGCAACAAAUUCUGAUAAAAAAAAUUGCAAAUCUAGAAUUUGGAGUGAGUGUUAGAUGUAUGCCCUAGAAGCCAACCAGGCCGACACAUGUAUUCUUUCUAGAAUAUAAAUUUGUAUUUGACUUUGAAAUAUUAUGAAUAAAUUUAGGUUCAUAUUUUCAUUCAUAUUGUGUAUGUGUCCAUGAAUCGUCAAAGGAAUUAAUAAGAUAAUUACUAUAUUCUCAAAAAUUGAGAAUUUGAGACAUAUGUUAUUGGUGGUUAAUUUCUAAAUGCUCCCGAUCAAUGAAUCAUCACGAGGACGGUGAUUGAUCCGGUGAGAUUGGUGCAUAUGUCGUUUCCCUUUUUGGGUAGACGAGUCUCGAGUCGAUAGUGUGGGGACACUGAAGCGAAUAUGCAGGUGGUUGUAGAGAACAAGGGUAUCGAGCAUGACUAACGCGAGAAGUCACUUGGAUGUCUACUCACUCGUUAAUGACUUACUCAAUGUUGCAGUAGUGUGACUGGUCUUUUGACCUGCGAUGCUUCGGCUAUUCACAAUAAGGUUACUGUAGCUUGAUUGUACAUACACUUGGUCCUUAGCCAUAAGGGUCCUUGCGGUGCAUGUUGGCUGCAGUAGGUUCAUUAUAAGAAUAGGUUGCGCACUUAGAUGGAAUCUAUCUCCCUUGGUAGAUAGGGACGUUAGUCCUAUGUGAUUUAUGAGACCGAGUUUAGAAGACCUUGGCCAGAUCAGAGUGAAUAGCAGAAAUGGGUUUCCGAUAUUAGAAACUCGAGUCAAAUAAAUUUAACAUAUGAUAGACGAUGAGGUUUGACGAGUUAUUCCAUGACAUUCAUCUAGUCGGGACUCAUGAUAAAAGGACUGUAUCACACGGUAACUGCACCAGGAGGUUCAGUAUUCCAUUCUACUGAAAUGCUACUACAUAAUGCUAGGCGUAGCUGGUGGAUUGUGACUCAUGAAAAUUAUCUAGAUGAUCGAUAAUUCUCAUUGAGCUGAGUUAAAAUUGUUUCGAUCCACUGAAAGAAGUUUUAAUGAUAUUGUUGAUAGUGAUCAAAAUAUAUCUCACUACCAGAUAGAAUAGAACCUAUAGGGUCACACACAUAAGAGGUUGUGAUUGAUCGGAUAGCUAGAUCGCGAUUAUUGAAUCGUCGGAGGACCUAAUUGUCAAUAUGUUGAUAAUUGGACUAAUUUGUAAUUAUUACAAAUUAGUGGUAUUAAAGUGUAAAUAUUACAAUAGAGGACUUACUAAUAGUUAGUACAUUAUAGGGGGAUUUAUGUGUAAAUGUUGCAUUAUUAAUUUGAUAUGAUCAAAUUAAGAUAAAGUUUAAGUCGAAUCAAAUUAGGAUUUAAUCGAUCUAACCAAUUAAGAAAAGGAUAAAUUUAAAUCUAGAUUUGUACUUAUCCUUAAUUGUUAUUAUAUUAUUAGAAAGAGAAUUAUAUUCCUCUAUAUAAUAUAUGGGAGUUUUUAGAAAACUCUAGUCGUCAUAUCUCUUCUCCUCUCUCUUCCAUCUUCUAACAAGAAAGACGUCCUUUGCAAUGGAGCUAGCACCCGGUGAGGACAUCGAUCAAAUCAAUAACCUUGUGUGGAUACCUAUAGAGGCCGGACGCAUGUGCGGCUUCAAGAGAACCCAAUUCCACGAUCAUCAAAUUAAGGUGAAGAUCUACCCACGCAAAAGGUAAAGAUUUGAUAUUGCUUUCUCCUUUAAUCUUAAAUAACAUAAGGGAUCCUAAUUGCGUGGUUUUUGAGAUCUGAUCUCGAGUUUUUUUUUUUAAAUCAAAUUUGUUUGAUUUCUUUUUCGCUACGUUUUUACCGUAUGCAAUUUUCUAACAGCGAGUACUAAAAAUAUCCUAAUAAAUUUAUGAAUAGACUUUUACGUUCCUAUAGCUAAAAAUAUAUAAAAAUUUGCUAGUUUUUUUGUAGCGACAAUACUUUGUCUAUUACCUUGUGGGAUGACCUUGCAAUUAAUUUCCAUAAUCAGCUAAAUGCGCAAAAAGAAGAAGGCGGUCUAAUUAUUGUUAUUCUUGCAAGUAUAACAAUACGAAGCUGUAGAGGUACACUAAUUUUUAUUUUUUUUUGGUUUCUAGCAUCUUAUGGAUUUGAAUUUGUGUGAUCUAAAGUUAAUUUUAGCUUUUUAUAACAGAUGAAGUUUACGUAUCAAUAUGCUCAAAAUCAAUGAUAUAUAUUAAUUUACUAGAGUAGGUUUUGUGUGCUAUUUGGAGCACGAAAGCCUCCGUGCUCCUAAGCCAUUUUCGAUGAUGGAGCCUUCGAAUUGACGAUCGGCUCCAUUAGACUUGAUCUCGCAUGUUUGAAGCAUCUAGAAAAUAAAUUUUGCUAUUUUCGAUAUCAUUUACAUAGCGAUCGAAAGUGUUCAAAAUCAACUGUUGAAAAUAAAAAUCUCACAAAAAGUGGUGAUAUAGCAUUAAAAUUUUCUAUCAAAGAUAUUGAUCUUGCAAUAAAUAGAACAAAAAAUUUUCUAUCAAAAUUUCAUCUGAUUUGAAUACUUCUACAUCGUUAAACUCUUAAACGAUUUACAUCAACCAUUAAAAAUUAUUGAUUUUAAACCCUUUCGAUUGCUAGGUAAAUGGUAUCGAAAAAUCGUAAAAUUUAUUUUCCAGGUACGUCAAAUACGAUAGAUCAAGUCUAACGGAACUGAUCGUUGAUUUAGAGGUCCUAUCAUCAAAAAGGUUUAGGAGCACGGAGCCCUCCAUGCUCCUAGUAACAUACAAGACCUACUGUAAUUUUCAAAUACUAAUAGUUGUGGCGUAACAAUCACUAUAAUAAAAACGUUGUAUAGCGACACUUUUAAGUGUCGGUACAGGUCCAAAAAAGUGCUGCUGACUAAAUUACCGACACUUUUUGAAAGUGUUGCUAUAUGUGGUGUCACUAUAGGUAGUGCCGUAUUUGGCACCCACUCCUCGAGCGACCUGUGGUGGAAGGAUACGUGGCGAUCGUAGCUCUCUACGGUCCCUGCGAGAUCCUCACAGCCGAACUCCAGCCGCUUGAACCCUAACUCGUCAACUGUGGCGGUAGAGAAGGAGGAGGGGAGAUAGUGAUUAAUUUUUCUUUUUUUUUCUUUUUUAUAUGUAAUCGGGCCGAGUGGACUGUGUGUGGUUGGCUGAGUAGAGGAACUUUUUAUUUUUGAUUGGAUUGGGCUUUAUAUUUAGGCAUUAGUAGAUUUUUUAAAAAAAAUUUGGUAUAAAUAGGACACUCAUUUAAAAGUGUCCCAAAAAUGUGUCCCUAUAAUCUAAUUCUGUUGUAGUGACUCUUCGAACAUGAAUAACUAUGCUAUUGCACAUUUUCCUCUGAAACAUUUUGAUUUAUUACAAAAAAAUUUUGAAUGCAGCAAACAACUACUGAAAGCACCAAUUCAGUGUUAGAAUCUCUAGACAAACCAAUUCUUAGCCCUUAUGAACAAGUAUCGAGAAAUCAUAAAAAUAUUGCUGGGUUGCUUGAGAUAAACAUGUCUACCAUCCAAUUAAAUUUGUUAUUGCUAUUUUCUCUCAAAUUUUUUCAUAUUCUUUUUUCACUCAAUUUUUAUUUUGGUGACUAAGUCAUCUUUUAUCCUAUUAAACACUAGGAUACAAAAUAUACGUGCAAAGCUAGAUUAGUAUUGUAACAUACCGAACUUCUAUAAUUAUGAAGUUACGGUGUAUGUUAGUUUUGAAAGCCAUUAGAAUGGUUCCGGUGAAGUUCGGAUGCGUUAGGGUGUUUUCGGUACGCGUCGGGCGCGAAAACGGAACCCGAAAAGCUAUGAUUAGAUCUUGGCCGAAAUCCGGCAAGGCGUGGAUGAAAAGAUGGUUUGAACACGCUCGAAAACAUGUAUUGGGGGUCUCGGUGUGAUUUGAGGCGAAUCGGAGACCCACGAAGUAAAAACGAGUGAAAACGGAGAAGAAACGGCAAAUGGCUGAAAUUGUGGCUAAGUACCAAAAAUGCAGAUUUUCUGAACCUACGGGGCCCGGUCCCUGGCUUCAAGGACCAGUCCCUGAGACCCAAAAAUGCCCAGUUUUGUGCAGUGGCAGUUUUGUAAUUAAGGGGAAGUUGGCUUAUAAAGGGGGCUUUUUUUUCUUCCUCCUUCCUUCACAGCCACAUCCACACACCCACACAUGGAGUUAGAGAGAGAGAGUCUCUUCUCUCUCUAGAUAUCUCCUCCAUCUCUCUAGAUCCAUCUCCUAAAUUCGGAUGCUUAGAGGAGAAGAACCUCGUGAACGCGUGGGAGGCGACAGUUCGAGCCUUCGUGCGCCCGUUUGAGCGGCGUGCUUCCGUCUCGGCGUUCAAAUUUUGGUAAGCUUUUUGGAUUUGGAUAAAUCCUUAAUGCUUGAUGUUUUAUGGAUCCCUAGAGUAUUCUAAGCAUGUUUCCCCAUAAAUUUCAUAUAGUAUUUGUUGAAAUGGGUGAUCUAGGGCUUAGGAAGGGGAUUUGGAAUCUUGUGGGUUUGAUCUAAAUUGAACCUAUGUAAACCUAAUUGCUAGGUUUCCUGACGCGUUGGUGAAGUCGGUUUGGCGAUUCGUCGAGCCUACGUGAAGAUAUCGAAGAAAAUGACGUUUUUGGCUUUGUUUCUGCCUAGAAGGCCGAAGCGACGUCCAAAAAUCACGAAAACAGAUUCCUAACAUCGCGGCAUCUAGAUAAAGACCCUUAAAGACCCUAGGCCGCAGAUUGAUGCGCGGUUGGUGAUCAUUUGCAAGAUCGGGCCGAACCGGACAACGUGUGCCGCGGGAGGCCGAUUGCAAAUGUCGACAAGCAAUCGGAAAGCGAUUUAAGGUGGGUUGUGCUCACCGAAGUUAUUAGCUCGCUUCCAUGUUGAAGCGAAGUGAGAUUGAUUAUUGAUGCGUAUAAUGGUAGCUAGUUGUAAAUCAUAUGAAUGCAUAAGGUGAAUACUAUGUUAAGCUACCAAAGAAUGCAUGUUUGCAUGUUAUAGAAAUGCUAGAUGAAUGCAUGUGAUCGAUGCUAGUUGAAUACAUAAGAUAAAUGGCAUAUGAAUGUGAAUAUUAUAAGAAUAUACUAUAUGGAAUGCCUAAUGACAUGUUAUAAGAAUAUGCUCGAUGGAAUGCAUAAUGACAUGUUGUAGAGAAUACUAAAUGGAAUAUGCAUGUUAACAUAUAUUGUGGACCAUGCUAGAUUAUAUAUGCAUGUUGACAGGUUGUAGCCUGUGAUGGAUUCAUGUAGAUGUGAGCUUGGGUCGACAACUCUAGGUUGAUUAGAGAACUUGACAUUGGAAAACUAGAACAUGAAAACUAUAACACUCGACGUGGACAAGUAGGAUGUCAAGUAGAUCGAGUGGCAUUGAACCUAGUGUCAUGAACAUAGGUUGGAUACGAGUGACAUUGAACCUAGUGUUAGUAAACAUAGGUUGAACAAGUGAACCUAGAAGUUGAGAUCUAGGUAGAGAUGACAUAGAACCUAGUGGGUUGAACCUAGGUUAUGGACUAUAGUGGUAGUAGCCACUAGGUUGUUAUGGGUCGAACCUAGAUAGGUCGACAUUGUAGGGUUGCAGAUGACCCUUAAGAAGUAGAAAUGGAUUCUGGAAUCUUAGGACUUAUGGAACACUGAGAGGAGGUGUUGGGUGUGUGUGACGAUUUCGCCGCCCGAGGCUGAACUAUUGUUGGGCGUGUGUGACGAUUUCGCCGCCAGAUGGUUAAAUUGGUUAUUGGAUUAUGCCGCUAGGUGACUUGAGCCAGUGUUGGGCGUGUGCGACGAUUUCGCUGCCAGGUGACUAAGUUAUGGAGUGCGGUGGGCUGUUGCAGCAGCCAGUGCGCGGUAUUCCACGGAUGAUUGACUUGAGGCCGAGUCAUGUGGAUAGCUUGAUUAAGGUGGUAGAAACCUUAAAAGCUAGUAAUAAAUGGCAAGAGCUAAAGUAGCAGAGGCCUUAGAAGUAAGUUGGACUUGAGUUGUGAGCCUAAGGUAGUAGAAACCUUAGAAGCUAGAUGACAUGAGCUAUGGAUAGCAGAGUUGAAUGUAGGAUCAAUUGAUCUACUAGUUGAUUGCAUAAUUGCAUGAUUUUCAUAUUAUAUGUUAAGAGGCAUAACAUGUAUUUCAAUACUUGCAUAAAUAUCUGUUGGAUAUCUGUUGGACUAACAUGUUGCAGUGCCUCCUUGGACCUGGUGGGUCGAGCUCUUCCCUUGGGUGGCCGUAUCCAAUGGGAACUAUGGACAAUAGUUCUCACCCCCGUGUUGUUUUUGGGGGUACAGGUUCACACGCAAGCGGCGCGGCGACGUGAAGAAAAAGUGUAGCUCCGUAGAUAGCGCCCUACCCCAGUGACCAGAGAUAGCAGUACCCUGAGUUGGUCUAGCUUAGGGAUGGAAAGGAAAUGAAAGAACCAAAAUUGUAAUAAAUUUGUAAUAACUUAGAUUGUAUUUGGAUGAAAGCAAAUUGUAAAAGUGAUGUACAACGCAUGUAUGUGAAUGUUUGUAAUAGCUAAUUAUUUUAUGCUGUUGAUACUUCCUUAUGCAAUCUUUACUUGAAUACUGUUCCUAGUUGGAACCUCUUGUAUUGUAUUGAUUGUGACACCUAGGACGUACAGGGGAAACUCUGUCCGUUCGGCGGUCUGUUGGUGUCCUCGAACCUGACCAAAUAGGCGGGUGUCGGGGCGUGACAAGUAUCUAUAGAUACAACUUAUGGAUAGUGAUAUAAAGCCUGCUACAAUUUCAAGACAGCAAUGAAGGAUUUUGUUGAUACUUUCUUGUGCGCACGGUGUAGAAAAAUGGCCGAACUACUGUCCCAUAGUAUUAUUUUUGGAUAAAUACUCAUACAUAUAUAUUACUCUAAGAAAGUGAUAGAGUUAAAUUAAUUACAAAGUUCAAGCAAUAUUUAUAAAAUUUAACAACAAAGUAUUAUAAAACAUAUAAGAAAAUAAAGGAAUAAAGUAUUCACGUUUGAUACGACGUAGUCUGUCCAGUCACCGUCGCCCGCUCACGGACCGAUAUAGCUCCUUGCUCAACCCACAACGCUUGCUCAAUCGACGCAUCCAAGGUACGCAACCUCUGCGCCUGUACCAACACAAAAAUCUCUGGCCUCAAUCCUCUCUCGUACAGAUAGACCUUAUCCAAGGCGAUACAUCGGCGCUCCCCAAGGCGAUAUACUCGCUCUCACAUACCCCUUAUCCAUUAGAUUCUGAAGCUGCGCCUUUAGCUUUCUCAAUUCUGUCGGUGCCAUCUGAUAAGAUACCUUCGAGAUUGGUGCAGUUCCAGGAACUACAUUAAUCACAAACUCAAUCUCCCUCUCUAGCGGCAUCGUCGUCAACUCCGGGGGAAACAUAUCCGGAAACUCGCGGACUACAGGGAUAUCCUCGAGUCCCAGUGUCGUCGUAGGUACCUAUACAACCGUCGCGAAAAAAGCGAUGUAUCCUCUACUCAUCAACUGUCGAGCCCUCGCCGAUGAAAUUCAUGUGGCAAAUAAUGUACUCUUGCAGCCUCUAAAAACAAACUCCUCCUGGUCUGGCUCGCGGAACGUUACAGUCCUCGCUCCACAAUUGAUAGUAGUAUAAUACCGCGCUAGCAAUUCCAUGCCGAGCACAACGUCAAAGUCCUGCAGCUGCCCUAACACCAACAAGUCUGUGGGCAUGAUACACGAAUCCAGCUGCACCGGACACGACCAACAAUACUCUGCAACCUGUAAGACAUGGUCGGAAAUCUGCACCUCUCGUGCCUGUGUCAAUGGCCCUAACUCUAAACCAUGCAACAAAGCAAAUGCUUGGAUAACAAAAGUAUGCUAUGCACUGGUAUCGAAAAGAGUACGAGCUCUAAUGCUGGAAAUCAAAAUGAUACCUGCCACUACUCGAUCGGCUGCUGAAGAGUCCACCUGGGCUGUAUAGAUUCUGCUACUUGGAGCCUGCUGUCGCCGCUUAUCCUAACGCGGCGUAGAUGCUCUGUCCUCCUAGCGGUAACUCGGCGGUGCCCCGUAAUACUGCGGAGGUUCUGGCUGUGCUGAUGCUGUCGAGUGUGCUGGUGAUACUGCUCGAGGACAGGCUGCCCUUAUACGCCCUGGUUGUCCAUAUCCAAAGCACCGGCCUUCUCGCUGCUCACACUGUCGAGGCCAGUGUGGUCUUCCACAAAUCACAGACUGCGGCGGCUCUUGUGACUGCCUCUGCUGACGAGAUCCUCCAGAACGCUGACGCCCCGAAGACUCACGAUCCUGAGAGCGUGAUCGUGGAGGUCUCGGCGGACGCCUGCUGCUCGACUGUCCCCCAUCGUCUGGAGCUGGGCACUUCCUGUCCUGACUCUGCCCCUGUAACUGAGUCUGCUCACGAAUCGAUGCAUCACCUCUCUCCACCCAAAGAGCCUGCUCCAUAGACGCAUCCAAGGUCCUCAACCUCUGCGCCUGAACCAACCUGAAAAUCUCUGACCUCAAUCCUCGCUCGAAAAGGUUUACUCUGUGCGCCUCAUCUCUGGUCACAAAUGGGACAUAGUUCAGGAGUCGAGAAACCUCACGGAUAUACUCCUGAAUUGGUCGCUCUCCCUGCUGAAGCCUUUUCAAAUCCUCAUCGAGCUUCUGCUUUACACUGUUGGGAAAAUACAUCCCAUAUAGCAUGCCGCAGAACUCAUCCCACCUUAUCUGCACCGCCAUCAACCUGUAGUCUCGUAUCACCCUCCUCCACCAUGCAAGUGCAUCUCCAGUCAAGCAGUGAACUCCCAGGUGUACCUGCUCCCGCUCAGGAAUGAACAGAUCCUCAAAUAGUUUCUCCAUCGCACUGACCUAGUCCUCGACAACCCAGGCCUCUGAACAUCUGCCAUCAAAGGUCGGUGGAUCGAAAUGAUGAAAGCGGGCAAGUCUCUCAGCCAUCCGCUCCUGCUCAGCCUCAGUUAUCUGUGAAGCCUCACCAGAAGAUGCAACCGGCACUCGGGGAACUGCCGCUGGUGGAGGUACUGCUGCGGCUGGUGCGGCUACUGGAGUAGUCGGGGGUGGAACUGGCUGCUCUGGUACGGUACUCUGCGGCGGAGCUAUCCUCUCACACAACUUCUGCAACAACCCCCCCUGCUGCCUCAUCACCUCAGUCAAGGCAGCCAACUGCUCCCUCAGAUCAAGGGGUGCGCUCGCCUCUGGUCGUACACUCGGCUCUGCCUGCUCAAGCAUCUCAGGAGGUGCGGCACGAUUCCGCAACGACGGUCGACCACGACGUCGAUACAUACCUGUAAAGAAAAAAAAAUAAAGGUCAGAAACAAACACAGACACUCUCGACCCAAUCAAACGAAAGUUUGGAAGGCGGCCCCUGUUUCUCCUCAAAAUUAUGUCGUCUGCAGCCAAUAUAAUUUUUCUGGACCGAAACAGGCACUCCUUCAAUCACUCACUCCACUCUAGGAGGAGUUAAAACUAUUCAAUCUUUGACUUUCGCAAUAAAUCACUCCUCUCGCUUCUUUCCCUCCUAAGGUUCACCAAACUUAGGUUUUUUAGGUCCCAACGACCUAAUACUAAGCUCUGAUACCAACUUAAUCUGUCACGUCCCGGAUUACUCUUUUUUCGGGCACGCCAACAAAUCCGCCGUAUACAAAGAAAUUUUUCAUGUAUACGAAGCGAUAGUUGUACUUGUAAUCAUACAAUACUACAACCAGUAGUAUAUAGCUGCUAGAAGAAAUGAAGAAUAUAAAAACAGAAGUUCACUAUACAUAUAUCAAAUCCAGGUGUACAAUAUACUCGCCCAGCGAGAUAAAACAAAAGUAUGUAUAUGACCUCAAAAACUACAACUACCUGUAGCUGGCACUCCUCUAGCUCUGUAAUUCGUCAGAAAGGGUUCUAACUCGUAACACCCUUUCCACGAUCAGACUCAGCAGCAGCAGCAGCCGAAAAUGAAGGCUCUGUAAAAAAUUCCAACAACUGGGUGUGAGGACUACUGCAAAAAGAAAUAGUCCUCAGUGGGUAUCGCUACCGACCUCAACGGCUCACCGACUAAGUCUACAGAUGUAAACAAGGAUAGAAAGAAAGCUGGAAUACAUCCACAGCUACAUGCACCUAUACUAUUUCGGUCUAACACCAACAAUCUGUAGAACACUGGAAAUCCUAACCCAAUCUCACUAGGGAUUGUAAAUAUACCCAUCCCAGGGACUGUGAACAUACCCAUCCCAGGGACUGUGAACACACCCGUCCUGCCUGUCGAAGCUAUACCGCUACCUGCACAUUAGACAGUCCUUGGAGAGCAAAUCCAAUCAGGACUAAACGACACCAACGUAAAAGUAUAAAGCCCGACUUCGGAGUGGCACUCGUGGGCGCUACCCAACCGAGUAUGCAAGCGUGUCUCUGUCGAGCUCAAGCAGACUCUCGUAGGCUAUAGUCAAGUAAACAGGAUCUAACUAGUCUAACAACCAAAAUGCACGUGCCAUCGGCACAAUCUGAUGCAAAAACAGUAAUCUGGGUCCACCGUCAAUCCCAACGGCACCCGACAAUUUGGAAAAGUCUGAACAAUACUGUAAAAAUAAGCUCGACAUCCCAGUAAGAGCUUAAAAUUAUUCUACACUAUUCUGGGUAUCCACCGCCCACAAACUGCGGUGAUACAACCAAACUACGGCUCCUAAAGUUAAAUCUGGUAGUUUGUUCAAAUGGUGGUGUAGAAACGUCAGUUUUCUCCUAAGUCAAAUCCAAGCCCAACAUGCAUGAUUUAGCUAAUUUUUCUAAGCUCCAAUUCCAAUUCAUAAGCAUGAAAUUCCAAAAAUUGAGCUAAACAAAGUACUAAAUGAAGCUACAAAUAGAUGUAGUUGACAUAUAUAACAUUAGGAGGAAACCCGUAGAAUUCGGUAAGCAUCACUUUAACCCAUCUCGAAAACGCGUCCAACAAAGGCGAAAAGUCGAGAGAAGUGGAACCACACGCUCGAACAGCCUCCAAUCAGCGCAACUACAACGAACGCACGCUCGAACGGCACCGCGGUGCGACGUCGGCGACGAUCCAACUCCACCCGAGCUCCUCCCUCCACGCACGGCUCAAGAGCAAGAGAGAGAGAAAAUUAGAAAGUGCAAUACCUCUCUAAUUAAGUUACUACGUGCACUUAAAUAUGGAUUGGAUAAGUAUGGGUAGGUGGAAUCCAUACCCACCUCAAUAAUUACAAGAAUAACCCUCACCAAAUCAAAGCCAAGGGUACUACAUGGCCCGUUUAAGUAAACUGUCCAAACAGGACUGUUGCGACAUCAACGCAAGUAAAGCCUCACUCCGGAGCGGCACUCGUGGGCGCGAGCCAACCGAGUAUACAAGCGUGUCUCUAUCGAGUCAAUAAGGCUCACACAGGCUAUAGUUAAUGCAAAUGGGGCAAACUGGUCUAACAAAAAAAACUCACGUGCCCUCGACACAAUCUGAAACAAGAUGUAAACAUCUGGGUCCACCGUUGUCACGCCUCGAGACCGCUACCAAUUUGGUCCUGUUCGGGCGCGUCGAACAGACACCGGACGAACAGCACCUCCCCUGUCCGCCAAGGCUAAGCAUCAAGAUUGUAUACAACAAGUGCCCAGGAAAAACAACUUGAAAUACAUACACAAUCAACGACAACAGCGAGAGCACAACCAGUGCAAAACAAGUAAGAGUAAGCAUCACAAGCAUACACAAGUGAACAAAAGAGAGAUACUCUAUCUAUUACAUCACAACCGUCAACCACGAAGGCACCCGACAGUACAGAACAGUCCAAACACUACUGUAAAACGAGCUCGGCUCCUAAGUACGAGCGUAAUGUCAACCGACACUAAUUUAAGUAUCCACUAUGCACUAACAACGGUGAUACAGCAGAACAACAACUCCUGAAGCUAAUUCGGUUAACUUUUCGGAAGAUGGCAGUGUAGGUUUAACAAGUUUUCUCCUAGGUCAAAUCCCAGUUCAACAAAUAAUAAUCAUCAUAAAAUAACUAAACAUGCUCCAACACUUAGAUUUCAUAAGUAAUAUGCAAAUCUAUAAGUUGAGCUACUAACAGGAUGAUCAUAUACACAUGCUGGGUUAGGAGAUAUUUUGAAUGCUUUGGACAACAUUAACCUACCUCGAACGCUCGUCCGACGUCAGCUAGAAGUCGAUAGGAGAAACCUCGCGCUAGCUCAACCUCCAACGGCCUCAACCAGACUCAGCCACGGCGCGUGCGCAAUCCUCCGAAGACAAGCAAACGAAAACUAAGAUCAACUCUCCAAAAUCGCAAAGAAAACGAGGAGAGAAGCUACAGAUAGGAAAAGGGAAGCCAACCUGUGUUCUCCAACCUGAGGCACAAAAAGAGAAGGCUGGAGUUGGUUGGUGGUACUUAUCGACAAUCAAAAGGCCAAACUACCCCUUACCAACCCAAUUUGCCUUUUGGGGUACCGGUACUCGGCCCUCUUUCCGCAAACUCGCGUGCUGGGUACCGAUACUGUCACACCCUGGGACCCAGCAGAAGCCCGUCCGGUGCGUGUCCAGAUCCGCCAUAUGUCUACAACAUAUAAGGCGUCUAGAACAAACCGAUAAAUAAAGCAAAGGUAAACAAGCAUCUAGUGAUAUCAGAGCAAGAAUACAACUAAAUUCUAAUGACGAGUAAAAAUAUAAAAGAACUAAAUAACUAACAUAAUCCAAAAAGUAGAUACAUCACAAGAUCCCAAAUACAAGAUAAUAGAUAUACAAAAAUGGUCGUCUCUACAAUAGGGUACAAAAACUCUCUUUCUCCAACUAAAACAAAAGGAGAGAUAGACCACCUAAAAGUAAAGCUUCUCGCUAUCUAGCUAGAGGGACACCCUUAUCGCGGUCCCUAGCCUCUCCCGGAGUGGAAGGCGCUGUAAACGAAAAUAAUAAAACAAAGGGCGUGAGAACUAUUAAUAAAUAGUUCCCAGUAGGUAAGCCGCCGACAUCAGCGAAAUACACUAGAUUGUGGAGGCAUAAGUAGUAUGAUCUAACAUUUAAAUGAAAUAAGCAACAAGUAUAUUAAGCAUGAAAUAAAACUUACUAAACUACUAUGCCUCUACUUAGCAUGAAUUUUCACAAGUAUAAGUGCUAUUCUAAUAUGAAUGAGCAUAUACAUUUAAAUAGCAUGAUGUCCACAAGUACAACUAGUAGGAUGUCUACAUUUAGAAUUAGUAUAAUGUCUACAUUGCAUUUUAGUUCAACAUUGUUCCGAUCAAAUAGGACCUACACAAGUGUAGUACGACUUGCGCCGUGCCUAAUGGUCCCGUGGUAGUCAACAUUCCCACUCUAUGAAUGAGCCUCCCCCACGGCAUCCCAUUUCGGCGCCCAAUCCCGCACGUGCAAGCUUAUAUCGCGUUGGCUAUCUCCGGAGUGCCGACUUGUGGGGGGCGACCCUCAUAAGCAUGUGCGAAUGAGCACAAUGAUAAGCAAGCGUAAUCAUCCGUCUUAAGUCCAAUGUUAUCAUGUCUAAAAUAUGGUAUAAAGGCUCAUAACCCAAUCGCCUAUCACUAUGUCAUCAAGUAAGAGUUUAACCAUUUACUAAGUUAUAUGCCACUUUAUGACAUUAAUGUUCACUAUGUCAAGCAUGAGUUUCAAGCCAUAUAAAGAAUGCUACUCACUAGCAUGAUUGCUAUAUACUUAUCUCUCUACUACGUAGAGGUACUUAUAAAAACACCACUAAAAAGCAUCAAAAUACACCGCGAAAAUUUCAGUCCUCACAAAUAUAAAUUUCAAUACAAAUUAAAAAAAUAUAUAAUACAUGAAAAAUAAUUAUAUAUAUAUCAUGCCCCGUGACUGCCAAUUUGGUCGGUCCGGACACACACACGACGCCAAAACGGACAAAACCUCCUCUGUCCGCCCAAGACUCAACCACAACAACAGUAGCAUAUAUCAAGAAAUACCCAGAAAAAUUUCGAUAUACACGGCUUACACGAUGGCAAGCAACAGGAACAAGUGAAAGUAAACUAGCUAUUACAUCCAUACAUUGUAUCUUAAUUACAUUAAGCCAAAUACAAUUCAUAAUCCGUUACAUCCAUUCCAUUUCAUACAUUCAUUUCCAAAUUCGUAACUUGUCUCUCAAUACAACUAUUGCAUGUUCAUUUCAUCAACUACAAAAGAUAAAAUACAAAAAGGGUACAACUAUACUCGAGGAAGUCCACUACCUAGGACACGAUGCCCUUGCCGCGAUCCUCGACCACCCCACUCGCGCUAAAAUCUGCAAGGUUAGUGGGGUGAGAACUACUAAAAGUUUUCAGUGGGUUCGGUCGCCGACUCCGCCGACUUACCCAUUAGGUCUAAUCAGGCAUAUGUAGGAAAAAGAAAUUGAUAGCAAACCACACUAAUGCAACUACAAUGCAUGUAUAAUAGCUGAAGCAAUAAGUAAGAUGCUCAUGAUGCAUGUAUUUCUAUUUACCUUUACUGUCACGCCCCGGGACCCAGCGGAAUCCUGCCCGGUGUGUGUCCAGACCCGUCAUAUGUCUGCACAUAUAAGGCGUCUACAACAAUACGAUAAUUAAAGCAAGAAAAGAAAGCAUCUAGUAGGUUAUCAGAGCAUAAUAACAACUACAUUCUAAUAGCAAGUAGAAGAAAAUGAAAUUGAACAACUAUCAUAAUCCAAAAGAUGGGUACAUCAAGAGAUUCACAAGAUACAACUAAAUACAAAAUGGUGGUCUCUAUACAUCGGGUACAAAAAUCUCUCUCUCUCUCUCUCUCCAUAAUACAAAACGGAGAGAUAGCCACCUAGUAGCAAAGAUCCUCACUACCUAGCUAACGCGACCCCUUUGCCGCGAUCCCUAACCUCUCCCGAUGAGGAUGACUCUGAAAUAAAACAACAACACAGACGGUGUGACAAUUAUUGAACAAUAGUUUCCAGUGGGUAACCCGCGACAUCAGCGAAAUACACCACUAGGCUAUAGAGGCAAAAGUAGUAAAAGAAGCUGAAUUAUGGAACAAAUAAAAUUUAACAAGUAAAAUGUUUUACACAGCUACUAUGCCUCGAUUUAGCAUGAUGUCUAUCGAGUGAUACUACUAUUCUAUCAUGAAUGAGUACAUCUAAUGAGUAUACUAAUAUACUCUAAAAUAUGUCCAACAAGUAUACUACUAUGCACUAAGCAAGUCUAUCAAGUAUACUAAUAUGUCCAAGCAUGUCUAUUAAGUAUACUACUAUGCACUAAGCAUGUCACCGAAUGUCCAAUAAUAUGCACAAAACAUGUCCAAGGAAUCCACUAUUAUAUACUAUCUAGUAGUGAUUGUCAUACUAAUGGUUUAAAUGUCAUUAUUCAAUCUCAAAUCGGGACCUACACAAGUGUAGUCCGGCUUGUGCCGCCUAAUUACCCGUGGUAGUCCAACAUUCCCACUCUAAGAAUGAGCCUAUCCCACGCCGGCCGAGUAGGCUACCCAAUCCCGCACGAGCCAGCAUAUGUCGCGAAGGCCAACUCUGGAGUACCAGCUUGUGGGGAGCGACCCUCACAAGCAUGUGCGAAUGAGCACAAAUGGUAAGUAAGUAUGAUCAUCCUCUCAAGUAUACGGUCAUCAUGUCCCACACAUGGUAUAAGCACUAGCAACCGAAAGGUCUAGUUCUAUGUCACAACGUAAAUGUUUAACCGUUUACUAAGUCUAAUGCCAUUUUAUGACAUUAUGAUUUGCUAUGUCAAUUAUGAGUUCUAAGUCCAAGAGCAUGUUAUAGUUAUCAUUUUUACUAAAUGAAACAUGAUUUCAAGCCAUAUGAAAAAAUGCCCCUCACUUGCAUGAUUAUUAUGUACAUAUCUCUCUACUACAUAGAGGUAAAAUUUCAUGAUACAUAAUGUAUGCACUUUAAGCAUUCUAAAAUCUACAUAUGCUAUAUCUAGCAUGAAUAUGCAUGAUUUUUUAUUUUACAAUAAAAAAUAUAACAUAGGGGGAGUUCACCCAUUUCGGUGAGGUCAAACCCACCAAGAACUCCUUGGAUCCCCUUCGCUUGCGCGAACGAAGAUGUCCACUAGUCUCCUAGCUUCUUAAAGAAAAUUCUAAGAGGGUUAGGGGUAAUGAACAAACACCCCAAGAGUUAAACUUUAACCAACUCAACAAUAAGUCAAAACUCACAUUGUAUGGUAAAAAACCCUCCCAAUCUCCAAGUAGAAGCUAGAGUAUUUCUAAUCCUACCUAGAAGAAGGUUCUACACCUAUCAAUUUACCCAAAAGCUACAAGUUAAAAACUCCCAAAUAAAAUCCUAGAUUCUACAUUUCUAGGUUUCCAACACAAAAACCCACCAAAUCAUGAUCUAAAGAGAAGAUCAAACUACUAACCUCUCUUGAAGCCCCAAACCAAGCUAGGAGUGAGCUAGGGUUAGAAAUCUUUCCUCAAACAAACUCCAAUCCUUGCUCCAAAGCUUCCCCAAGGUGGAAGAACCAUCAAAAUGCAAAAAAGAGCAAAAGGGAGAGAUCGAUUACAUGAAAUCUCACAAAAAAAGAGAGGAAAUCUAGAGAGAGAUAGAGGAAAAUACCCACCUUCUUCCUCAUCUGGUUGCAGCACAAAAGCCCCAGCCCAAGGUGUAUGGGGUAUAUAGUGUGUUGCAACAAUUACAAAAAGAACACUAAAAAAUCUGCAGUCUGCGGACUGCAUUGCGUACCAGUACGUGGGCUGGAGUACCGGUACCCCGCAGCCGAGCUCGCAAAACCCGAGCCUCGGUCAAGCGAGAAAACACACUGCGUACCGGUACCCUCGCAAUGCAGUACCGGUAUCAGGUCCAGUACCGAUACCCGGGCGAUGCAGUACCGGUACCCUGCCUCGCAGAGCUCAAACCCGAGAGCACUCUUCUCGGGUGCGCGACACAGUUCCAGUACCUCAUCCCUGGUACCGGUACCUUGCAUCCCAAAACCUGCAGUUUUAAAGUUUUGGUGCUAAGUACUUAUUCCCGCUCCUCGGAACGCGAGUCAUAGGUCGGAACACAGUUAACGACCCUCCAGAAUACUUGAAAAAACUGAGAACACUAAUUAAACACUCGAACCUUGCAGUUUGCUAAAGUUUAGUGUGUUACAUUUACCUUUAUCCAAUCCUUUUGGUUAAACCGAACUCACCAAAUCAAAUCCUUUUUUGUUGGGAAGAAUUUCGCUACAACCCAACGGGACCGUCUGUUGGGGAGAAUUCCGCUACCGCCCAGUGGAUGACAACUCCGGAGCUCACCGCUUGAGGUAGAGCGACCACCCUCACGCAUAUCAGACUACUCGUGAGUACGAUCCAAUCCUCAACUUUGAGGAUACCAUGUCACUAUUGCCACAAUAUUCAUAAAGUUUUCUUUGUCUAGCCAUCCAUAUUUCUAGGUGCUAAUUCAUCUAGUCACAAUGUCAUCUUGUUUACUACAUUAUCAUUGUCCACCACUUGGUUCAUACAUUCAUAAGGUUUCUAUGUUCAAGGUUCAUUACCAUUUCACAUGUAUCUUUACAUUGAGAGCAUACAAGAAAUCCCACAUCUUAGCCACACAUUAAUAUUAACCCUACAAUGCAUGAAUACAAUACUACACAUAUACAUAUAUGCUCAAAAAGGUGACAUAGACAUAAUAAGAAAUUUGAUGAUUUCGAAUAGCACCAUUCACCUCGUAGGAAUGCUGAGAGGGGAGAAUCCAAGUCCCGCGAUUUUUAGACACCUCAAUCCCUCGACCCACGGCUAACGAAAGCAAAAUGAGGUUUUUCCUAAAUAUAAUGCUGUAGACUCGCCGGAACUUCGAUCUGAGUCUCCAAACGCGUCGAAUUAACUUCUAUUAGGAAUACAAGAGGUCAAUUUCAUAAUAGACCUAAAUUCCUACAAGAUCCUAUUUCCAACCCUAGAGUUUACACAUACUACCCAUACUCUAAAUUCUUAGGAUUCAUGGAGUAAUCCAAGCUCUUGAAAUCCAAGAAUCACAAAUCCAUGCAAAUUAGGGUAAUUAAACUAAACUAUAACAUACAAAUGCAAAGAAACCUACCUUGGCUCCUUUGCUCCUCAAGUUCCUCCUUGCCUUGAGCUUCUUCACCACCAAGACCACCAAUUCCACCUUCAAUUCUCCUCCCAAGCCUCUUUUAUGGAGAGAUUCUAGAGAGAGAAGGAGAGGGGGAUGAGAAGAAGAAGGAGAAAAUGUAUUCUCUUGCAUGAGAAUACCAGGUGUAGGGUUGGGGUUAUUUAUAGACCCCAAUAAUUGCAACUAAACCCCCCACAAAUGCUCACUUACAACCAUUACAAUUUAGUCCUUCGCAGGGCUGAGUAUUGGUACGCGGGCUCCCAGUACCGGUACCCAGCUACGUGGUACCGGUACACGCCAAAAUAACCUCUCAAACCCGAGAGCUAGAUUUUCGGGUUUUAUACGAGGUACCGGUACGCAGCACCUAGUACCGGUACCCAACAUGUCCAGUACCGGUACCGGUUACGCAAUACCGGUACACAACUCGGCAGCAACCAAACCCGAGAGCUCACCUUUCGGGCAAUUGACUGAAUACCGGUACUCAGCCUCCGGUAUCGGUGCGCAGCUUGCCAAAGUCCCGAAUCUGAGAGCUAAUCAAUUUGCACUUCUAUUGGGUAUCGGUACUGCAUUGCCUGGUACUGGUACUCAACAUCAAUUCUGCAGUCCCAGCAGCCGCAAUAUUUCGGAGUUCUUUUUCGCGCUCGGUUUGUGCCGAAAACACCAAAACACUCCCGAAACACCUUCAAAACAACUCAGGGACUUUACUUAUCACCCUUAUACUUCACUUUAAUCAAUUUAAUCAAAAUUAGCAUUGCAAUUCGGAGAUUCGGUAUAUUACAAUAUAUAUAAUAUUUAAUAUAAAAUAAAAUAAUUAAAUAUUAAUAUAUGUAAAUGAUAAAACUGAAUAAAAUAAAUAAUAUAUCAAAUUUAAUUAAUUUAUAUUAUAUAAUAAAAUUUAAGUAUAAAUAUAUUAUCAUAAAAUAAUAUUUAUAUUACGGAUAAUUGCUUGCCUAUAUACCUCUCAUACGUUUGAAAAUAUCCGAUUUACCCCUAUAUUUUUUUUCUUUCUAAAAUACCCCUCAUAUAUUCCACCGUUAUUGCAAAAUACCUCUGCAAUUAUCUCCUGUUAAGUUAAUUUGAGUUAAACGUGAGUUAAAAAUGUACCACAGUUAAAAAAAAUUAAAAUACCAAUUUUGCCCUUAACUUAAGGGCAAAUAAGAAAUGUUAGUGACGGUAGAGAAGUGUAUUGGAAAAGAUCAAAAGUCAAAAUAGUUUUUGCGCCCCUUACUUUAAGGGCAAAUAAGAAAGUCAGUGAUAGUGGAAAGGUAUAUUUGAAAGGGCAAAAUAGUAAUUUUACAGAGAUAAUAGAGUUCAUUAAUAGAUUUUAACUUCCUGAGUAUAUACCCCUGAAAAGUUCCCAACUUUUCGAUUUACCCCUCUUGGAAGGCUAAUAUAUAUUAAUAUAUUUAUUUAUAUAUUUAUUUAUCUAAUAAAAUAAAGAGAAUAACAAAGUUGUUCUCGGUUUCUUUGAGAAUAAUUUUUAACGGUUUGUUCCAGAACAAUUCAGAACAGUCCAUUUUAAUCGAAACAAUUCGUUCUCUCCUAUUCUUCUACCGCUUGGUUAUAAAUUUAUUUAGAAAUAUUCCGUGUUGUUCCGGAAUAUUCCCGAUAUUAAACCCAGCCUAGUUUCAGUGUACAUGAUGAUUGCAAAGGUCGGGACCAGUAGUGUAAUUAACUGUUGCAAAGACUUUCCUGUACGACCUGGCCCAUGGGUCAUAUUACAUGUAGCCCAUCAUAUUCAGGUUGUUGGGCCAAAAAGGAGGUUGAGCCUGAGGUGAUUUUUAUUUUUUUGAGAGCUUGAGGUGAGGGUUGUUGAUUUGGCAGUCGUGUGGGCCUGCGCAAAUGAGCGUUGUCGGGCUCUUCGUGACCUUGAAAAUUGAAAUCCCCCGGCGUUAGUUCGUCUGUCCCGGGCUCAGACGCCCGAUGGCGGGAAGCGGCAGCGGCGAUUCGGACAAGAUGGCGGCGCUCGAUGGCGCCGACGGGUUUCAGUGGGACGAGGAAUCAAAGCUCUACCUCCACGCCAGGUAACAUUUAUGCUUGUUGCGAAUCAACUCCUCAAUGUCUAGGGCAUCUAUUUUUUAUUUUUAUUAUCUUAUUUUUUAAUUUUUUCUCUUUUCUUUAGCGUUUCUUCAUAUCUUUAUGCGUUUGUAUGAUUGUGUUGUUAUUUCGGUUUCAAUCUCUCUUUAAUUGCUCUAAGACUCUGAUGCAGGACGGCUUAGGGAGUUUAGGGUUUUCAAGAAUUACUUAAUAUAUACCACUUGAGCGAUUCUUAGAAAUCAAACUAAAAGAAAUAAAUGACAAAUUCGGAAUUCGGAAACUUAAAUAAGAGAUCGGUUAGGAAAGAUUACACUUUGGAGUUUUUUGGAGUUUUUGUAGGAUAUGCGGACGUGUCAGUUUAAUAUCUCUUGAUUGUAGGAUCAUAGCAGCUUCGCUAAAAUUUCUAGAAUAGUAGAAGGAAAUUAGGUUUAGGGUUUAGAAAAUGAUAGGAUGAUGAUAAUAGAAAAUUAGGGUUUAGAAAUAGCCGCACAAAAAAAGAGAAAUCAAAGGAUUCAGCGAUGGCUUGCUUCCACGGAUCCUAAUGUGGCGACGGCGGAUUGUCGGAGAGAUCUCUCGUAGGGCUUCUCUGUAUGGACGGCUUGUGGAGAGAUCCCGCAGGUGGGUCCCCCGCGAGUAAGUCGAUCUCUACGGCUCUCUUUAGUAGUAACAGAGUCAACGGCUAAAAUAAAAUAGAGGAAAGAGAAGGGAAAGAAGAUAAAAAAAAAUAAUUCAUGGGACUCGCUCCUGAGCCGAACACUCUCUGGCCGACGCUUUCGCAAAGGCAAGAAAAAUGCACGAGGAAUUCAAAUAACUCAAUUUUCAUUUAUUGAAAGCAUGCUUUACAAUAAAGAUUUGACCCUUAUUUAUAGAGAGUGUAGGUGAAAACGACUAGGAAUACGACUAGAAGUCCUAAAAGAAAAUUAAAUAAAUUCUCAUAGCAGAAUUGAAAAUAGAGUUUUAGUCUAAAACUUUCAAAUAAACUAAAAAAUCCUAAUCUAAUUAAACUUUCAAGAUUAACCCACUAAAUCUUAAUAAGACUCAGAUUCAAUUCAGAAUUUGAAUCAGACUCAUAUUCAAGUUAGGCUUCUAGUACUUGUCCAUUAUCCAACCAAAUAUUCUGAAUAUGAUUCCAACAAUGAGUAUAAGUUCGAAAGGGACCUGGUUCUCCAUCAGACUCUCUCUCUCUCUCCUCUCUAUGUGUUGCACUUAUACCUCUGAAUAUUAAAAAAAAAAAUUCGCACAUAAUCCUCUUGAAAACUUGCAUCAUUAGCACCUACCCCCUUUCGUCAGCUUGUCAUUCCAAUUCCGUCAUAAAUUGAUUUUUAAUACCAUAAUUGCUGUUUUUCUUCCACAAUUAUACCAAAAUUGUUAUUCUUUCCCAGUUUCUCUCUCGUUUUCUUCUUCUUUUCUCGUAUAAUUUUCAUUUAAAAUUUACACCAUUAAUGAGAAAAGAUGAAGAAAAUGGAAAUAGAAUAGUUCAGAGUAGUUAUAUAUACAUAUAUAUAUGAGGAGGAGAAUAAUGGGAUAGGGAGAAGAUUGAGGUGAGGACGAGGAGAUAAGGACGGGGUAGAGGAGGAGGGGUAGUUAUAUAUACAUAUAUAUAUGAGGAGGAGAAUAAUGGGAUGGGGAGAAGAUUGAGGUGAGGACGAGGAGAUAAGGACGGGGUAGAGGAGGAGGGUAAAUAAGGUAAACAAUGAAGGCGCUGCGGCGGCAGUCAUGGCAGCAACCAUGACGGAGGCGGAGGUGGUCAAUGAGUUCCCAUGGAGGAGGAAGAGAAAAAGAAUAAAAUAAAGCAGUAUUUUGGUCAUUUGCUCUUUUUAUUUUAAAAAUGUAACUUGAUGAAAUAUUUCUGAUCUAUUGAGUGGGUUUAAGUGUUUUUUCUUUUUUAAUCUAGGGGAGCAAAGUGCAGCAUGUGAUAUAUUCAGGAGCAUUAUAUGCAUUUUAGCCUUUUUCUCAAUUAUUACUAUAAUUUCGUCUUUGUGAGUAUACUUUGAUAUCAUAUCAAAAUGGUAUUCUUGAGUUAUUAAGAUAUCUACAAUUCUAUUCUUACAAAACUUUGUGAAAUAUUAACACUUAGACUCUUUUUAAAGGCAUUAGAGACAUUAAAACUCUCUAAUAAACUAUUUUUUCGUAAAAAACUGAUUAAAAUAAAGAAAUUUGUGUAAGCAUGUCAGUUGCGUGCCAUUGACAUAGAGGGCAGUGCCAACAUUGGCAUGGGGCUUUCCGCUGUGCCCCCUGUCACUGACAUGGCAAAUUGUUGCUCUUAGGAAUAUGCUUUCUUGACAAAAUUUCUGUGGGUGACUUAUGUAAAUAUUAAACUACUAAACAUUAGUAAAAAUUUGCCCUUUUGUAAGUGGAAAAUAAAAAAUAUAAACUAUUUCCCUUACUGUAUGUUAUUGAUUGGCUUUACAACAUUUCACUAAUAGAAUUCUCUUCAACCAGUGCGGUAAAUUGCAGUUUAUUCACCUACUAUUCGGUCAUUGCGAGUUCCUCCUUUAAGAAAAUUACAGAAUUUCACAUAGGGUUCUGAUUAAAUAUAAAUUGAAAUUCAAUAAAUUAAUAGCAACAAAUUGAAGUUUGCUGAUAUUAGUGUAAUUUUGCAAUAUGAUUAGAGGUUCAUGAUAUAAUUUACCAAUUAUUUGUAUAUGGAACCCUUGGAUGGAGGUGGCAAAUAACUGUCUUAGAGGGUGUGUAACAUGGCAUUCUUACAUAAUUUUGUAGGCAAGUGUUGUAGAACUUUACUAUUCUAAUAAAUCCUUUGUAUUUGAAACUAUGUAGUAUCUUAUUGUUAGUUAUAAUUGUAUCUCAUACCAUUAGCUCAUCUCUCACCAAGUUAGUCAAUGCUACUUUAAAUAUUUGAUGAACUCCUCCAUGUCUUGUUUAAUCCUUUGUGCUUUAUGUUGUCUCAUCUUAUAUACCCUAAUGUCUUUGUGCUGCCUAGGCAUUAUAUCUUCAUUUGCUAAAAAUGAACCAGCAAGGGUUCUGCAUCUGAAGUUUUUUUCUUGGGUUAGUCUUUAAUCAUUAAUGAUUUAUUCUAUGACAUAAUUAAAUAUUAAUUCCUUAUAGGACCUUCGUAUAAAGUUCUAAUAAUCUAACCUAGCUCUUGUUAUUACUUGUCUUUCAAUAUGCCUGCUACUACCACUUUUAUAAAUUUAAAUUUCCUAAAAUAAUUUUUCAGUUCCCUGAAUAUUUCUCAAUUUUCUUUAUUUAAUGUUUGUCAGUACUGGGUUUUAUUAUGAUCCCAAUGCUGGAUGGUACUACAGCAGUAGAGAUGGUCUCUACUAUGCAUUUAAGGAUGGAAAUUAUGUGCCAUUGAGUAAGGUAGAUUGAGCCUCAUGAUGGUCUGUAAAUUGUCGUUGUCAAAGUUAUGACCGUAUGGAUGCUUUUUUUCUCAAUGCUCAAUCUUUUUUCCAUAUUCGAACAGGAUGAGGAACUUGAAGCUUAUCCACAUGCAAGAUCCGAAUGCAAUGAACUUGUUCAAAAAAACUCAUGUAUGCGCUAUAUAAAAGCAAUAUUCUGUUUGCCUACUAUGUCAGCACACUUUCUUCUUUGUUUCUGUUUAAGUAUUUAUAAUGCUGAAUUGUUGAUGCAAUUUUCGAUUAUCUUGUGUCUUCAAAAUUUUGCAUCAGGUGUAUAUUAGUGUCUUAGUCUUUUUCAUAUUUUUGAUUGAAACCAUGAGUUUGAGGAGAGGCUCAUUAUAAAACCUGUAACUAAUACCCUUCUUUUCUUUGUCCAGGUUGUAUGUUCAAACUAGUUACCCAAUCAUCUGCGGUGCAUUUGAUGAUAGACGAUAAUGCCUUCUUUUCUUGUUUUGUUGCCUAAUAGGUCUAAGAGAAAAUUCUAGUAGUGAUGGAAAUGAUCCACAGUGCAUGCCAUCUGAAUGGUAUGGUAGUAAAUGCCUCAUAAUAUUGCCAAUACUACUAAUCAGGUUAUUUUUUUCUAGCUGAUUUUAAGAACUUUGGUGUCUACAGGUUAGAAGACACUUUGAUCAAUAUGUACUUAUCAGGUUAUUCCAACUUAGAGUUCAACUCCGAUGACCCAUCCAGAGAUUUACAAACAAACAGUGAGUCUAGCUUUAGUUGAUCAAAAUCUUUCUGUAAUUAUCGUCCUUUUAAGAAGAUUCUGAUGGUUUAACCAAUUUAAUGAAGUCUUUAAUCAGGAGAAGAGAAAAGCGAGUCCAUUUCCAAGUGGUCGGUUGAUAAGAUAGAAGGUGAAAGUAUUCCUGAAAAUGUCCAAGAUGCAUUCUCUGGUGAAGGUGGUUAGAAUCUACUUAUUCUAUUAAUCUUUUCUGCUGCCUAUAAAUUUUUCUUUUUUCUUUUUUUUUUUUUUUUUUUCAGGAAAUGCUACUCCAGAGGAAGAGAUGUGGCUAGCACAGUAUGGUCAAGUUGUGAGAACAAACGAUGAAGAUCUACCAUCUUUCCCUAUAGUUGAUCUAUGGGAUUGGGAAAUGGUUAGGGAACCUGUGAGUAAAAGGCAUGAAGUGGCUAGGCUAGUGGGAAGGUUGGUGAGGCGUUCUUCUAAGCUGCACCCUUCAUUGCCUGCUGGUGGUGGACUGUUAAGAACUAAUCCCAUUCGUGAAGUUCAUCUUGAUCUUGUGCGUGUUGCAUCAGGUAAUAAUUUUUACAAGUGAGGUAAAACCUCACAAAUGAAAAUGAAAUGGGUUUGGGAUCUUUUCGCUCUUUUGGGACUUUUCAGUCUCUGACCCACUGCAACUGAUCAGUUUGUUUGGAUAUUUCUUUCCUCACUGAUGCUAUUAGUGUGGGAAAUGACUAUGUUCCAUGUAUCCUUUAAUAGCUCAGAAAUAUCUUCAUUAUGCUAACAUUAAUACGUCAAAAUUUUGUAGAAAAUCAAUUGGUCCACUAUCCUUCCUUUUUAGCCACCCCUAUUGGCAGUCAAAAGUAAAAUAUUGUCCAUGUUGUCAGUCCAUCUACCUAAUAUUUUUUGUUCCUUUAUGUUGUUUUUGAACUUGAAUUCUUGCAUUUGAUUGCAAACUAUGAUGAAGAGAGAGGAUCUAUUUGUCAUGAUUAGGCAACCCCUUUCUAGGAAUUAUCUUCUUGGCCUCUUACUAUUUGUGAAGGCUUAGAGUUUUUGAGGACUGCUAACAUUGUUUCUCACAGCACAAUUUUGACGUGAUUGCCACUACUAUAUGUAGUUAUAUUUUUUUCUUUAGCAUCGAUAUUAGUGUUAUUGUUGUUCCGGUGCUACAUUCUAAUAUUGAGAAGGGUACUUUGCACUGAUUUAUUCUUAGCAUGCGUUUGGGUGAGGGGGUGGGGGAGAGGGUGGGGGCUGGAUAAGGGGUUAUCCCCCCGUUUAUCCCCAAACACAAUUUUGGGGGUGGAGAUUGUUAAACCCACCUCUAACGGGUUAUCAAUCCCACUCCUCCCUCCCUGGAAUUGGGGUGGGAUUAGCUAUUCCCACCCUAGCUAAUCCCACCCCUAUGUAAUUUUUAAAUUUAAAUUUAAAUUUUAAAAAUUUAUAAUUUGUAAUCUUAAAAUUAAUAUUUAUAAUUUUAAAUUUUAAAUUUUAAANUAGAUUUGAUCUUAAAUUUAAAAUUUAAAUUUAAAAUUUAGAACGUUAAAUUUUUAAAUUUGAGAUUUAAAAAUUUAAAUUUUAAUUUCGAAAUUUUCAAUUUUAAAAGUUAUAUAUUUAAAUUUAAAAUUUUAAAUAUAAAAAUUAAAAAUUUAAAUUCAAAUAUAAUAUAAGGGGCAAUAUCAUUAUUUUCUCUUUAUAACUAUCUAUUUAUAACUAUCCAUUAUUCUUCUUAUUCCAUCUUAUCUAUCCAAAUGCUAUUUUUCUUAUUUCCGAGAAUAAAAUUUUCAUCCAAUCGCAAAAUUGGUCUAUUCCAGGCUUAUACAUGAACUUAUAUCUAUCUCUGGAAUAGGCAGUUCUUGCUUAUACCCGAACCAAACGAAGUCUUACAGUAUCUUUCGUGGUUAUCAAUAGGAAAGAGAUGCUGUAAUUGCAUAAGAUCUGACCGCUUCAUUUCUAAUAUUUCUACAUCUGUAUUAAUAUUGUUGUUUUCUUGCUAUAAUGUGAUGCAAAUAUUUUGGACACUUGAUCCUGAUAAAUUCAUACUUUUUCCAAUUUUAGGGAAAGUAUAUAGGUUGAAAAACCCUAGCAGAAAAUACUUGGCUUCUUUAUCAGUAUAUGACUCUUCCAACCCUACGAAAGAUUGGGGCUUUCCUGAUAUAUAUGCCAACCAGCAAAGUACUGUGCUGCAUACCUUAAAUCCAGAGUGUGGAUCUGACUUCUCUAAUGCAAUUUCUGAGGAUAACAUAUCUUCUGUCAUUAAUGAUAUUCCCUUGGAAGGCAUGAAGGUGACUGUAGUUCUUCUUGAACCCGCUCACUCAAUCUUCCUUCUAUUAAGCUGCUGCUUUACGAAAUUCCGGCAAAUGCCAUCUCUAUUAUAAUGUAAAAGGGAUUUUUCAUGCAGUAAAAUAAGCAAAGUUUCAUAAAGACUCCUGCAAAAUUGGUAUUUAUGCGUGUGUGCCAAUAAAAACUAUAUUAAUUUGCAUCCAUGCCCUUUCCAGUAGAUAUACCCAUAUAUGUUCAUAAAUACAACAGUAAGUGCGUUUGUCUGUGUAUGCAAAUAAGGUUUUUGGGGUUAGAUACCAAUUUUGUAAUCUAUUUGUGCAAUUUUACAUAUUUGAUGCCACAAUUUUGCCAAAUCCAAUGUAAAUAUAUAUAUAUAUAUAUAUUUUGGUAUUCAUGCCCCCGAAAACCUUGUUUAUUUGCAUCUAUGCCCCUGCCAGUAGGUACACCAGUAUAUGCAUGGAUACAUCAGUAAUGGCCGGCAGCCAUGCGUGCAAAUAAGCUUUUGGGGUUACGCAUGUAAAUACCAACUACAAUGUAAAUACCAACUUUGUAGCAUACUUGUGCAAUUUAUCAUAUGUGAUGGCAUAUUGUGCAAAAAUGCAGUGUAAACUUUUUGGCUUAUGGUUUUUGCACUGUCCUGGAUACUUGCAGCAUCAGAAAUUUGCUUACAGAGAUAGAGCAGCCGAGAGGAGAUGUUUACAUGGUGGUAUUGGAAUAGGUCCGGGACACAAGGAUGUUAUGAACAAUGAUGAUUCUUCUGAGGAUGCAAAAGAAGCUGCAGCAGAAGCCAUGGAGUUAUCUUUCGGCUCUGGGAGUUACGGCAGAAGAGUCCUGGAAAGCAUGGGUUGGAAAGAAGUAUGUUCUUUUAUGGUCUUACAGCCAUCUUUUUUUAGCUUAUGCAAACACAUUUUCAAACUUGAAUUUAGAAGAAUAUAUCUCAGAGCAAUGAGAUAUUGGAAAAACAAAGGUUUAUAAGUUAAUUGCCAACUUUAGUCCCUGAAGAAAUUUCAAUUUCAUCUUUAUAGUUUCAAGUUUAACAAUUUAUUCCUAAGUUUGACUUGAUUUCAAUUUAGUCUUCAAACUUACAUUUCAACAAUACGGUCCCUGCAUCUUGACCCUGAUUUCAAUUUCAUUCCUGGAGUUUCAAAUGAAAAAAUCAAUGCACAUCAAUGGUGCUGAUUUGGCAACCCUUUUCUAGAUGAUAGAUUAAUAGGACUUGUUAUAAAAAAUAAACAUCAGGUAACCAAAUUUUUACAAAUAAAACUAAGAGGAUGAAAUUUAAAUGAAUACUGAAUUUUACGGACCAUUUGUAAUUAGUCCAUAUUUUAUCUGAAUUCUGUAGAUAACUAUUAUUUUUUGCCUGCGACCAUGUAUGUUUUGUUCUAUUGAAAUCCCAACCAGAAGUAAAUAAGUUAAAGAAGAUGAUAGUGUUCUGAUACAAACUGCUUGAACUUGCUUGUCCAACUUGAGAAUCGAGUGAGACAAACAAAUCACUUUGAUGGUUUAAUGGCUGAGAUCCUCGUAAUUUAUCUAGUAUUAUACAUCUUGGUUAAUUUUUCUAAUAUACAUGGUAUAUAUGUAACACUUCAUUUUUCUGCUGUAUGUUCUACAGAUCUACAUCUUGGUCAAACUCGGGUAGUUUUAAGUUAAAUGCCCCGUCACUAAUAUUUUGUGGAUUCACCUGCUAGUAUGUGGGUCACCAACGUGGAUGGCAUAUCUUCUGCGUGUUAAUUAGCACUAACAAUAUAAUAGGUUUAUGUACAGUAUAAGAACAUAAAUGUCACAUUGUUGGAUUUUAGUAGGUGUUGCAUGAAUUGACUGAUGUUGCUGAUGCAGUCAGAAGAUUCCAAAACCUUGUGAUGGUUAUAUAGUUUGCCUAAUCUCUGUUAUAUUGGUUUAAUUGAAUUACAGUUAGAAAUUUCUGGAUCACAUGUGCGUCUCUUAUUUCUCCUGCUAAUUUCUCCUAUUCCUUUUUCUUCUCUCAGUAUAUCAUUUAUUUUCCUUGAUUGUUGCAAGUGAAACAAUUUGAGAAUCAAGUAUUGCUCCUUUUGAGACUAUCAUGCCCUUUAUUUAAUUAGCUAUGUAGUCCAUAUGGUAGAUUGGUGCUCAACUUGAUAAUAUGGACCACACCAAGUACAUAAAUAUUAUGAAAUUGUAUUUACAUAUGAAUUUAUAAAUUAUGCUUAUACGCAAAGUUCUUCCCUGCUGUAUUGGACUUGCUUUCUUGCUAUAACAUGUAGAUAGUUCUAUAAAACAGAAUAACUUGGUCAGAGGAACAGAGUCUAGAUUAUUCAUGUUCAAAAUAUCACCUUUUAAUGCUUGCCUAGAAGUCUUAUUACCUUAUUUUGCAUGACCUUCCAUUUUAGUUCAUUGCAGGCAUCUAUGUUUUCUUUUCUUUUUUCAUCUGAUCUCAACUUUAUACUGUGCACUAGCUAGUUAACCCAUUCCGUUGAAAUGGCUCUAAAGAUGAUCUUGGAUUCUUGAUGAGAUAUUGUUCUUUGUGAACAGAAAAUAUGCUGUAGUAAGCUUUAUUUAUUAGAUUCUCUCAUAUAGGGAGAGGCUCUCGGAGGAAGCACCAAGGGUAUUCUAGAACCAUUGCAAGCUGUUGGUAAUAAAGGCUACGCUGGUUUAGGAUGGAGUCAUACCCGUGGGAAAUCUUGAGACAUCACCACUACUUUAUGAAGAAGAUCGAGAUGACAAGUAAGAUGAUAUUCUGAAUCUUAUGUGAAUCAAUUGAAAUGAAUAAUUUUUUUGUUUUGUUUUGAUUAUAGUUGUUGCUUCUGUCUCACUAACAAUAGUCACAAGGUUACCAAUCGUCCCUAGCGCAAGUGGCAAAGGGCUUGGUGGUUUGGUACUCGAGGCCCCAAGUUCGAAUCCUAGUUGAUUCACAUUUCUAGCUAAGUUUAUUUCUAAAAGAAAUAAACGAAGGGGGUAGCAUGAUACCUUCCUCUCAAAAAAAAGUAAAAAACAAUAGUCACAAGGUUCAUGGACUAAUUGCGCUGAAGUUUUUUUUUAGUGUAUAGAUUGAGUACACCUGGGACAAACCGUUCGUGACAUGUCCCGAUCUUUCUAAUUCUGAUUGACGAUUAACAUCAGAAUCUCGCUGCUCCUAUUCAUUGCUGGUCCUAUAUAUAUGUUUUGACUAUAUUGCAUUACUGUAUAGUUACAUUAGUCGUAGCGACGGGGUUUUUAAAUAACUAAAAUUCAGGACAGUUUUCAGUGAAACAAAAUUGCCACUCUUAAGGUCUGGCAGUGUCGAAAGUCGUGGAAGGGAGGACUAUUUUGCGAUUUCGUGUGAUAAAAGCAUGAUUUGGAGAGAAAAAUGGCAAGAGAGUAAUUGAGACGUUUCGUAUUUUUUUGCAAAAAGCGUGACAUUUUAUAUGCCAAAUUGUAUGAAAUUUCAUAGAGAGGAGCUACUGUGCAAAUUACGCGUGCUGGGGAGUGCUUGGUAAGAAAUUUUGAGUUUUGGUGGACUAAAUUGCAAAACUACCAAAUGUAUAUAUAAGGCAACUAGGGUUUUGGAACCUUUUUUCUGUUUCCUACUCUCCCCUAGCCGCCAUGUAACACUCAGGGCGUGUUUGGUUUGAGAUUGGAAUCGGAAUCAGAAUCGGAAUCGAAAUAAGCUAAAAUCGGAAUCGGAAUAACUCAUUAUCUAAUUCUGUUUGGUUCGUCAUUUGAAUCGGAAUCGGAAUAAAUUAUUUCCAUUGUCGGUGUUUGGUUCAGGUAGAUAUAAAAAAUAUAAUCAAAUUAGUAUACUAACUUUAUCUUUAUAAUAUAUUAAUUUAAAUUCAAAUUAAAAAUUAAAUAUUAAAAAUUUACAUCAAAAUUUUGAAAUAAUGUCAAAAUUUUAAAUCUAUUUUUUUUUAAAAAAUUAAACUUUGAAGUUGAGUGGAUAAUUCAAAAUAUAAAACUAAAUUUCGAUUUAUUCAAAUUCAAACUUAAAAUUACAAUUUAAAUUUUAAUUUGAAUCCAUAAAUUUAAUUUAAGUUUGAAAUAAAAUUCAAAUAAAACUUUAUAUAAAUUAAAAUUUAAUUUAAAUUCAAAUUCAUAAGUUAGAUUCGAAAUGCUUGAUUAAAUUUUAAUUUUUAAUUCGAGUUCAAAUUAAAAUUUAAAAUUAUAAAUUUAAUUUCUAAAUUUAAACUCAUAUUUUAAUUAAAAAUAAUUGAAAAAUAAAUUUAAUCCAAAUAAAUAUUCAUUCCGUCUGGUUUCAACUUUCAAUCUGGCCUCCUAAACCGGAUCGGAAAAAGAGGUGAUUGGGGGAUUCCCAUUCCACUUGGGAAUCAGAAUCGGAAUGAGACUCCCGCGUAUCAAACACCUACAAACGGAUUAAGAAGUUUACCUCUUGGGCAUAAAAAGUUACUACCCAAAAUGUUAUUGUCGGAUUAAGAAGUUUAGCUUUUUUAUAUCUUAUAUUUAGGACUAUUCCAAAUUGUUGGGGUGCCACAUUUCUGUCCCUUUAAGCCUUGACAUUUUCGUCAGGCUCAAGCACAUUCACAAACAUCAAACAAUAUGAGACUCGUCUCGCUAGCCUUAGCCGAUCUUGUGGCGAGCCGCACUCUACGAACAAUGGUCAUCAGUCGGGGAGCCGUGCUUUGCUUGCUGUAUAACACUGGCUCUAUUGAGACUCAUCUCACAAUUCCAGUUGGUGAUUGGCUCUAAUACUAACUGUGACGCCUCGCUUCCCAGAGGGUCACCGAUUCUAGAAUUAGGCUUAGUUUGGUAUUGAGGCCUAUCUAACACUAUUAGAUAAAAUGGAGUUGAGGAAAAAGCAUAUAGGGAUAUGCUUCUGCGUUCUUUGGUGGGACUGCAGAAAAUAUAUCGUAAUCGACUAAUUGCGAUAUGCGGAACGUAAUAUUACGUACGGAAACAAAUAUGGUAUUUUUCUAACGUACUUUCUCACCGCACGUAACGCAAUCUCCCCACAAUUUCAAACGAAGCCUUACUCUAGCUCUGGCAAGCUUGACCCUCUUAACCUCUUGAGAGUAGCCACCACCCAAAAUGUUAUAGCCUGGUUAAGAGGUUUAGCCCUUUUAUAUCUUACAUUUAGGACUACAAAUCUUGGGGUGCCACAAUGCUACAAAUGAGAGAUUCUAGCAAGUACUUAGUUCUUUAGACAUGGAAAGUGAUCCACCACUUUGGAUAGGACAACUGACCUCAAGUCGAUGCUCAACUCCCAAGGAAACCAUGAUCUACGCGCAAUCGUCCAAGUUUGGGGUCCAGUUUGGUAUGAAACCUCCAAAAUUGCCCCAAUCUUGAAACUGAAGGUCAUAACCUCGUUGUAAAGUUAAUUUUUGUUGUCCCACGUGUUAAGCUACCCUUAAAUUAGAGUUUCAAGGGUUAGAUUGUUUUAAAAUCCUAUAGGAAUAAAACUCCCAAUUUCAACCUAGGAUUACCAUUAAUUCCAAGAAAUUCUCAAGAGAAUUAUGAAUCCCCCCCAAACAUUUGUAAGUUUUGAGGAGCCCUAGGAUUUAUCUAGAUUGUAUCAAAUACCUAGAGGGGGGUGAAUAGGUGUAACGGCCAAAAACCACAAAUCUCAAUGCGAUAAAAAUAAAUGCGGAAAAUAAAAUCACACCGAGAUUUAUGUGGGAAAACUCCAACUUGGAGUAAAAAACCCACGGGACCAACACGCGAAAAAAUAAUUCAUUAAGAGAAAAGAUUACAAGAUGAUUACCGACUCCACGGACACAACCUCUCUUAACCUCCUAUGAAUCUCGCGCAAUCCUCUGGGUUGUCCACGCCCUCACAUUCGAAUCCACGAACGCCUCGCACACGUCCGAAUCCACGAAUGCCACUCGAAUCCACGAGCCCACGAUCCGAAUCCUCGAACCGCCUUGAUAACGCUGAAUCCACGACGCCGUCCAUGAAAAACAUUAUGCUAUGGUGAUCCUUCGCUUAGAGUAUCGAUGAAAACCAGAGAAGAAAACUCCAAGCGAAGAGUAGAUCAAAUUGACAUAUAGAUAUCAAUUUUCAAUAUCUCGAUUUGACCUAAAAGAGGCUUCUUUGAAGAAAAUAGGUUUUGGAAGAAAAACUAGCCUCUAGGGUUUCUCAAACAUGAAUUCUCGUGAUGCUUAAUGAGUUAGAGAACCCUAAUAGCUUAUUUAUAGACUUUAGAAUCAAUUGGAGUCGGAUUAGAAAGUUUUUCGGAUUUUUACACUGUGUAUCGGUACAAAAAUAAGUUGUUACCGGUUACACGAGGACGGAACAGAAAACUAAUAAAUCCUCGAAACCGGUUACAAGGUCAAUGUUGUACCGGAAUAGUUUUGUACCGGUACACUUUUAAUGCUGUACCGGUACACAUUGCAUUUUUCAGAUUUUGCACUGUUUCGGGUUUCACAAAGCUCCGAAGCACUUUCUAAUUCAAUAAACUUUGAUAUUCAUGAUUCUAAUGUCUAUAACUAAGUAUGAAUCACCAUAACAUGAAUUAAAACCUUAUCUUAGCAUCGUGAUUCGUAUCAUGAGUAAUUUCUGAUUUCUUCGAAUUCUUGGAUUCUUCGAUCUUCGACAAUAUGCACCGAUCCUUCAAGACUCCGACUCAAUUCACGAAACUUGCCAACACAUAAGACUUAACAACAUUUAGUUUAGAUUCUUCUAGAGUUUUCCAAAAUCUUAUUUUCUAUGUUUGCUCUAAACCCGAGCAAGGAAUCACAAGAGAACUCAUCUCUAGCUCCUUGCCACGGUAGCUCCUCAAGUUCUCAAGCUUGCUUCGCCUUCUAGAGGAGGUCGUUCACUUGAUCUUGCUCCAAGAUCUCCAAUCUUGAUGGAAAAGUUGCUAGAAAAGAGGGAGAGAAAGUUGAAGUUUUGAGAGAGAGAGAGAGAGAGAGAGAACAAGAGAAAGGGUUUCUCUUAGCUUGGGAAGUAAACGAUGGAAGAGAGUGUAAGUGGGUUCAUUUAACAAUUGCACUUAAAACCCUCAAAAAGAGAGAAAUUAUGGUCUUUAUACCAAACUCCCCUACUGUCGGAAGUCUGAUUUUCCUAUCGGAAGUCUGAUUUUCCUACCGGAAGUCCAAACCCGAAAGUUCUCCCCACAUUGCGCAACAGAAUUCUGGACAUCCAAUUGGAAGUUCGGAUCACGAAGGUUUCCUGCAACCUCACGCGGCUAAUGUUCGGACGUCUUGAGGAACAUUCGGAUCCCGAAGGUUUUUGGUCAUUUUGGCAAGCUGCAAGUCCAUACUUCCCUACCAAGGUUCGAACUUUGAAGUUUGGGGCCAUGCAAGAAGUUUUAUGAUCCGGACUUCUUGGGGGAGAUCGGGAUCCUAAAGUUUCGGGAACUCCAACAAAUUUUAGUCCUGGAAGUUCUUAUUUGCGUCGUUUUCACCCCAAUUCAGUUCCAACUUGCUCAAAACUUCUCCAAAUCAUUUAAAAUAGUAUUAUAUACUUUUUUUAUCUACAUUUUACCCAAUUUGGCUAAAGUUCAGUACGUUAUACUGAAAAUCAGUAUAUUACUAGGGCAUGGUGGGGUACCGGAGCUGGAGGAGAGGAGAGGAGAGGAGAGGAGAGAAGGGAGGGAGGGAGGGAGGGAGGGAGAGGAAGGAGGAGAAAGGAGAGGAAAUGGACGUCAAUGUCCUCCCUUUAUUUCUUUUGUUCUUUUUCCGUUAGAGAAAAUAAAAUAUAACACUAUUUCACUAUAUGUUACUCUAUUUGACAAUAUAUUUUACUAUUUUAUAAGUUUUCCAUUUAUCAAAUAGUAUAAUAUAUAGUCAAAUAGUGCAAAUUUUUAUUCUUUUUAAUGGAGAAAGAACAAAGAAAGCAGGAGGAGAAGAAGGAAGAGGACAUCGAUGUCCUCUUCCUUUCCCUCCUCCACUACCUGCACCUCGACGACGUCGUUGUAGCAACCUCGGCCUCCUCGACUUUUGUCCCACCGUCAUCAAGGGAACCCCUCCGAGAUCAUCGCCUUUGCGUCCACGUCCCAGAUCUACGACGACGCCGUGAAGGAGGGAGGGGAAAGGGUGACGAUGGCGACAAUGGCAUCAAAGGAGAUGAGAAGAGAGAAAUGAAGGAAAGAAAGGAAUUAAAGUAUUUUGAUCAGGUUUCUAAAAAUCUGGACCGAAUCUACAAAAUUCAAAAAAAUGCUCUGAUUUUGCAAAAACAUAUAGCAAUGAAAUUUUUAUGCAAAUUGGCCAAUUUUUUUGGUUUACUUUAUUUUUUUUUUCCCUCCUUUUUCAUUAGUUGGAAGAAUUUGAGGAACUUAUCUCUCAGUUGGUUUUGUUUAUAUUUUUCAAAUAUAUCUUUUACUUUCUCUUUCUUAUCAGGUUUUGAUUUGAGGAACAUGGAUUCGGGGCAGAUUCGGGCCGUAGGCGGGAGGCAAGUUUUGAAAGGGAGCGGAUUAUGUUUUUAUUUUUAUUUUUUAUUUUUAUUCUUCAUGGGUUAGAGCCGGUAGCUGCAGUAGGAUUUCGUUUGGUGGGGUGAGAGGUGGGGCAGGGCUCCUGCCCCUAGAUCCGCCCCGCAUCUCUAACGACAACCCUAAAAACGAUGCUUCCCCUAAAGUGUAAUGAUUAUGUAGAAUGUGAGGCGCAGUGGCAAGCUUAGACCGAGUUUUAAUAGUGGACAAAUGAGAUUAGAUAUUAAAAAAAGUAUUGUUGAUAUCACUAAAUUUGAUGCAUAAAACCUUCAACUCUAGAUCUUUCGUAUUAUUAGAAAACAUAUCUGUAUUGCUUGUAGAGGCAUAGUAGUUCUUGGGUGGUUGUUAGUGAUGUUAAUACAUAUCUUGCUUUAGUAGAUAUUUGUUGUGUAUCUCGUUCUUGUUUUAUUACGUCUCAUGUUGGAUCUGGUUGAGUAUAGAUCAGCUUAGCUCACUCAGUAGUUGUACCUACUAAAUCAUAGAAUUUAAAGAAUUUUUUUGGUUGAGUACAUUUUUUAAAGAAUUUUUUAGGAAUAUGUAAAUCAUAAAACUAUUAUAUGUUACUGGUGGCUAGCUAUUUUGAACGUGUAGGAAAAAUUCUAUCCAUUCAGUGUGCCUGUUGUGCUUCUGGCACACCCUGCGUCCACAACGAAAGCAUUCCGGGCAUGUGGACAAACCUGUCUAACGGAUAGAGAUUCUUUCGUUCGCACGAAACGUCCAACAAAAAAUUGCAGUAGCAAAGAAAUUCAAGAAUCAACAUCAACAAUUCCAAAGUCCACUGUCACGCCUCGAAUUAUUACGUUUUUUGAGGUACGUCAACAGAUUCGUCGUAUACAAAAUUUUUUUUUCUGUAUACAAAGCGAUAGCUGUACCUGUAUCUGUAAUCAUACAAAAUUACAACUACUAGUAUAGAACUGCUAACAGAAUUGUAAACAUACAUAAAUAAACAUCAGGUUCACGAUACAUACAGUCUCCAAGAUACAGACAUCACUCGCUUCAGCGAAUGACUAACAUCAGUAUGUACAUAAACCAAAAAUCAAAACUAUCUGUAAUUGGUACUCCUCUAGAACAGCAACAAGACUGGAAGGGAUCUAGCUCGCGACUUCAUUUUCACUAUCCAAAUAAGCAACAGCAGCAGUCGCGGACGAAAGCUCUGCAAAAAGGGGUCAACAACUGGGUGUGAGAACUACUGCAAAAAGUAGUCCUCAGUGGGUACCGCUACCGACCUCAACGGCUUUUCCACUAAGUCUACAGAAAGUAUGCUCAAGGAUAGUAAAGAAAGCUGGAAAAACUCUACAGCUACAUGCCACUAUACUAUCGCUAACCAACACUAGCUAUCUAUAAAUAUAAGUAAGAUGCAAUCUGACCCAAUCUCACUAGGUACUGUGAAUGCACUCGUCCCCACCUAUCGAAGCUACACCAACCACAACCAUGCUGGGUUGUUGGUGAAGAGCAAGUCCAAUCAGGACACUACGGCAUCAACGCAAAAGCACAAAAUCUGACUCUGGAGUGGCACUCGUGGGCACUACCCAACUGAGUAUGCAACAGUGACUCUGCCGAGCUCAAUCAGACUUUCACAGGCUAUAAUCAAAACAAAUGGGUUUAACUGAUCUAACAACUAAAACUCACGUACUCUUGGCACAAUCUGAUGCAAAUACAGAAAUUUGGGUCCACCGUCUACCGCGACGGCACACGACAAUCCGGAACAGUCUACAUCCUACUGUAAAAAUAAACUCGGCAUUCCAGCACGAGUAUAAACUCAUCCUAUACUAAUCUGGAUAUCCAUCGCAUACUAACAGUGACGAUACAAACAAACCACAACUUCUAAAGCUAAAUCUGGUAAUUUUCAGAAAGUGACAGUGUAGGAUCUAUAUGUUUUCUCCUAAGUCAAUUCCAAGUCCAACAUGUAAAAUUAAACUGCUAGCUUAACUCCAAAUUUAGGUUUAAACACUAAUCCAUGAAUUCGAGUACUAGCAAGAAAAAUACACAAAUGAUACAUGUCGACGCUAUAAAAGCUUAGGAGGUAUUCCGGCGAUUUCAGUAAACUUCAACCCACCUCGAAAUGCUAAUCCAACUACGGCGAGAAGUCGAAAGAAGGGAAAUACGCAUUCGCUCGGCCACCAACAGCGCAACCGUGACGCACGCACGCUCGAACGGCCCUCUGGAUCGACGUCGAAAAUCACCCGAGCUCGAGUCAUGGUCUCCACCAAGCAUACGAUCAAAUCUAGAGAGAGAGGAUUAUGAGAAAAAUUUCUCUCAGGUGGAUAACUAUAGAGGGGAGUAGGUACGGUGGAUAACCACCAACAAAAUGACCUCCCUACCACUUACCAACUCAAACUACAGCUGGAGUACCGGUACCCGAUUUGGUUACCGGUACUCGGCCUCUCAGCCCGCAAGCUCAUGCACAGGGUAUCGGUACCAGCCCAAUGCCGUAUCGGUACUCAACACUGAAAUUCUACACUUUACGGAUUUCAGCGUUAGAACUCCACUCUAGCCUCGCGUCGAGUCCGUUUUGCGUCCAUUUCGAGCCAAAACGACUCCGACUUGUCCCGACACUCUCCAGAUGUGUCGACAAGCCUCAGAUGCUGAAAUCCAUGGGCAACCAAACACCAAGGAUACUACAUCAUUCCCCACUACAAAAAGCUUCGUCCUUGAAACUUAACUCAUACCUCAAUCAUGAGCGGUAACUCAUACAUCCUCCCCCACUACAAAAAGUUUCGUCCUCGAUACUACAUCCUCCCCCACUCACCGUCUCCAGCUCCCACGUCGCUUCACGCUCCUCGUGAUGACUCCACUGCACUUUUACAUAGGGGAUGAUCCUGUUUCGUAAUUCUUUUGUCUCGCGAGCAAGAAUCCGCACCGGUUGCUCCUUAUAUCUCAAGUCCUCGCUAAGCUCCAGUGCGGUGAAGUCAAUCACGUGUAAGGGGUCGAACACGUAUCUCCUCAAUGCCGAGACGUGAAAAAUAUCAUGAAUGCUGGCUAGUCGUGGGGGUAGAGCAAUCCUGUAGGCUACCGGUCCAACUCGCUCCAAUAUCUCGAAAGAGCCUACAAAGCGUGGACUGAGCUUUCCACGUACUCUGAAUCUGCAUAUCCCUCGGGACAGCGAGACUUUCAGAAACACAUGAUCUCCAACCUGAAACUCUAAAUCUCGUCUCCUGAUAUCGGCGUAGUUCCUCUGUCGACUCUGGCUGUCAAAAUAUGCCAUCGUACAAUCUUCACCUUUUUCUCUGCCUCUAUUAGAAUCUCAGGUCGCAGAGUCUUCCUCUCACCCAUAUCACUCUAAUGCUAAGGGGAUUGACACCUGCGUCCAUACAACGCCUCAAACGGAGCCAUCUGAAUACUUGUUUGAUAGCUGCUGUUAUAUGCAAAUUCAACCAGUCUCAAAUACCGAUGUCAUCCUCCUUCAAAGUUUAGGACACAUGCUCUCAGCAUGUCCUCCAGAAUCUGAAUGGUCCGCUCUGACUGACUAUCUGUCUGUGGGUGAAAUGCUGUGUUAAAAUGGAGUUGUGUACCUAAGACCGUCUGAAGACUCCUCCAGAAAUGCGAGACAAACCUCGGAUCUCGAUCCGAUACUACCGAGGUAGGCACACCAUGCAAUCUGACAAUCUUAUCCAAGUAUAACUGAGCGAGUCUUUCCCUGGACUAGGUGGUCUAUACUGGUAGGAAGUGAGCAUACUUAGUCAGUCUGUCCACUAUCACCCAAAUAGUAUCAAAAUCACCCUGUGCUCUAAGUAAUCCCAUGACAAAGUCCAUCGUGAUCUGCUCCCAUUUCCACUCGGGCAUUGGCAGAUUCUUAAGCUUGCCAGCAGGUACCUGAUGCUCAGCUUUCACCUGUUGGUAAGUCAGACACUGAGCCACAUUUCUGCCAAUGUCUAUCUUCAUUCCAUUCCACCAGAAGUGUGCCUUUAAAUUCUUAUAUAUCUUAGUUCCACCGGGGUGAACUGUAUAAGGCGAGUAAUGAGCCUCUCUUAAAAUCUCCUUUCGGAUCUCUGAAUUCAUAGGCACACACAGUCGGUCCCUGUACCGCAGUACUCCCGAACUGUCUACUGAAAAGGCCUCCGCCUGUUCCCUCUCUAACUACUCUCGAAUCCUUAACAAGUGAGAGUCUCCACUUUGUUUCUCCCUGAUCCUAUCUAGCAGAGUGGGCUGCAAAACUAUAGACAUCAGUUUUACAGUAAACCCAGGGGACACUAUCUCAAGCCUCAACCGCUGUAGCUUCUCAAGUAACGGCCUUUGCUGAGUAAUCAACAUGCUCAAGCUCUGCACUGACUUCCUGCUGAACGCAUCUGCCACCACAUUCGCCCUGCCGGGGUGAUACUGAAUACUAACAUCAUAAUCCUUCAAUAACUUCAACCACCGGCGCUGCCUCAGGUUCAACUCCUUCUGGGUGAACGGAUACUUGAGACUUUUAUGAUCAGUGAAAACCUCACAAUGCUCGCCAUGCAAGUAAUGCCGCAACAACUUCAAGGCAAAAAUCACUGCAGUAAGCUCCAAGUCAUGCGUAGAGUAAUUUUCUCGUAAUCCUUUAAUUGCCGAAAAAUAUAAGCAAUUACCCUACCAUACUGCAUCAGCACACAAUCCAAACCACUAUGCGAUGUAUCACUGUAGAUCACAAAUUCUUCUCCCAUAACUGAAAGGGUAAGGAUAGGAGUUGACAUCAGCCUCUGUCUCAACUCGUUGAAACUCCUCUGACAAUCCUCACUCCAGAUAAACUUAAUCCCUUUUCAAGUCAAUUCAGUGAGGGGUGUGGAAAGCUUCGCAAAGCCUUCCACAAACCGACGGUAAUAUCCAGCUAGUCCAAGAAAACUCCUCACCUCAGUCACCGUCGUCGGUCUGGGCCAAUCCCAAAUAGCAUCAAUCUUUUCGGGUCCAUUGCUACUCCAACCGCAGAAAUCACAUGGCCCAAGAAAGAAACCUCCUGCAGCCAAAACUCGCACUUCUUCAACUUAGCGUACAACUUCUUCUCCUUCAGAAGCUGUAACACUAUCAUCAAGUGCUCAUCGUGCUCAACAUCACUCCGGGAAUAUAUCAAAAUAUCAUCAAUGAAUACAACCAUGAAUCUAUCCAAGUACGGCUUAAACACUAUGUUCAUCAAAUCUAUAAAUGCGGCAGUGGCAUUUGUCAAUCCAAAAGGCAUCACAGUGAACUCAUAAUACCCGUACCGAAUUCAAAAAGCCGUCUUGGGAACAUCCUCGGCCCUCACCCUCAACUGAUGGUAACCUGACUGGAGAUCAAUCUUCAAAAAGACACAAGAUCUUUGCAACUGAUCAAGCAGAUCAUCAAUACGCGGCAAAGGAUAUUUGUUCUUGAUGGUCACUUUAUUCAGCUUCCGAUAAUCCACACACAGUCGAAGUGAACUAUCUUUCUUCUUUACGAAUAACACCGGCGCUCCCCAAGGCGAUACAUUGGGUCUCACAUACCCCUUAUCCAUCAAAUCCUGAAGCUGCGCCUUUAGCUCUCUCAGCUCCGCCGGUGCCAUCCGGUAGGGUGCCUUCGAGAUUGGCGCAGUUUCAGGAAUUACGUCAAUCACAAACUCAAUCUCUCUAUCUGGCGGCAUAGUCGUCAACUCUGGAGGAAAAACAUCUGGAAACUCGCGGACUGUAGGAAUAUCUUCUAGUCCCGGUGCCGCCGUAGGCACCUCUACAACCGUCGCCAGAAAAGCGAUACAUUCUCUACUAAACAAUUGUCGAGUACUCGCCGACGAAAUCUAAGUGGCAAACAAUGUACUCCGGCAGCCCCUGUACGUAAACUCCUUCUGGCCUGGCUCGCGAAACGUCAUUGUCCUCGCUCCACAGUCGAUCGUAACAUAGUACCGCGCCAGCCCAUCAAUGCCAAGCACAAUAUCAAAGUCCUACAGCUGCCUUAAGACCAACAGGUCUGCGGGUAUAAUCUAAGAGCCCAACUGCGCUGUACACAACCAACAACACUCUGCUACCUGCAAAAUAUGGUCGAAAAUUUGCACCUCUCGUGCAUACAACAACAGCCCUACCUCUAGACCAUGCAAUGAUGCAAAUACUCAGCUAACAAAAGAAUGUGAUGCGCUGGUAUCAAAUAAGGUACGAGCUCUAAUACUAGAAAUCAAAAUGAUACCUGCCACCACCCGGUCGGCUGCUGUAGAGUCCUCCACCUGAGCUGUGUACACUUUGCCACUCGGGGCCUGCUGUCGCCGCUCACUCUGUCGCGGCACAGAUGCUGUUUUCCUGGCGAUAACUCUGUGAUGCUCUACGAGACUGCUGAGGAGCCGGCGGUGCUGACGCCAUCGAUGGUGCCGGUGAUGCUGCAUGGGGACAAGCUGCCCUCAUAUGUCCAAGCUGUCCAGAUCCAUAGCACCGGCCAUCACUCUGCUCACACUGUCGGGGCCAGUGUGGUCCUCCACCAAUCACACAAUGCGGAGUCCCCUGCGACUGUCUCUGCUGACGAGGUCCCCCAGAACGCUGACGUCCCGAAGAUCCACGACCCUGAGAGCGUGAUCGUGGAGGCCUCGGCGGACGCCUGCUGCUCGACUGCCCUCCAUCAUUUGAAAUCGGGAGCUUCAUAUCCUGACUCUGCCCCGGCAUCUGAGCUCGCUCACGAAUCGACACAUCACCUCGCUCUACCUACAACGUCUGUUCAAUCGACGCAUCCAAGGUCCUCAACCUCUGCGCUUGUACCGACCGAAAAAUCUCUGGUCUCAACCCUCCCUCAUACAGUUAUACCUUGUGGGCCUCAUCCCUAGCUACAAAUGGUACACAGUUCAGAAGUCGCGUAAACUCACGGGUGUACUCCCGAACUGAUUGCUUUCCCUGCUGUAGCUUCUUUAGGUCCUCCUUGAGCUUCUGCUUCACGCUGUUUGGGAAAUACGCCCCGUACAACAUUCCGCAGAACUCAUCCCACUUCAUCUGCAACCCUACCAACCGUCGAGUAUCCCUCAUCCUCCACCACCAAGAAUGCGCAUCACCAGCCAAACAGUGCACUCCCAGAUGUAUCUACUCCCGGCUCCGAUAUAAAUAAGUUCUUGAAUAGCUUCUCCAUCGCGCUCACCCAGCCCUCUACAUUCCAGGGCUUCGUGCAGCUGCCGUUAAAGUGCGGUGGAUCAAGCCGAUAAAAACGAGCAAGCCUCUCAGUCAUCUGCUCCUACUUCGCCUCAGACAUCUGCGACGCUUCUCCAGAAAUUGCAACUGGCGCCGAAGGAACUAUCACUGGUGGGGGUACAGCUGUGGCUGGUGCAGCCAUGGGAAUAGUCGAUGGUGGUGCUGACUGCUCUGGUGCUCUAGGCGCUGUGCUCGGCGGCGGAGUAAAUGUCUCACACAUCCUCUGAAUAGUGCCCCCUGCUGCCUCAUCGCCUCAGUCAGGGCAGCCAACUGCUCUCUCAGAUCAGGGGGUGCACUCGGCCUUGCAUGCUCAGGUAUCUCAGGUGGCUCAGCACGAUCCCGCAUUAGCGGUCCACCUCGGCAUCGAUACAUGGCUACCUGAAACCAAAACAAGGGUCAGAUACAAAACACAAUCAACUCUUGACCUAAUCAAGCGAAAGUCUAGAAGGAUGCCCCUGUUUCUCCUCAAAAUUAUGCCGUCUGUAGCCGACAUAAUUUUCUUGGCCGAAACAGACUCCUUCAACCACUCCACUUUAGGAUGAGUUAAAACAAUUCAAUCGUUGACUUUCGCGAUAAAUCACGCCUCUCGCGUUUUGCCUUCCUAAAGUUUGCAAAGCUUAAAGUUUCAUAGGUCCCAACGACCUAAUACUAGGCUCUGAUACCAACUUAAUCUGUCACGUCCUAAAUUAUCACGUUUCUCCGGGCACGCCAACAGGUUCGCUGUAUACAAAAGAAUUUUCUCUGUAUACGAAGCGAUAGUUAUACCUGUAUCUGUAAUCAUACAAAACUACAACUAGUAGUAUAGAGUUGCUAACUGAACUGUAAACAUAUAUAAAUAAACAUCAGGUUCACUAUACAUACAGCCUCCAAGAUACAGACAUCACUCGCUCUAGUAAGUGAUUAACAUCAGUAUGUACAUAAAACAAAAAAUCAAAACUACCUGUAGCUGGUACUCCUCUAGAACAGCAACAAGACUGGAAGAGAUCUAGCUCGCGACUCCCUUUUUAUGAUCCAAAUCAGCAACAGCAGAAAUACAUUCAAAAUGUACAAAAGCAUUACAUUCAUGACACAUUAACAUAUGACAUCUAACAUACAACAAAGGGGAGGGUGAGAGAUGAAAUUACCAUUUUGCGAACAAGGUGAGCGUGACUUCUAUGCCGAUUGAGAGCUCUGGAGGGGAAGAAGGAGGUGAUAACAGAGAGAGAGUGAUCUGUGAGAGAGAAAAAGAGGGAUUUGUGAUGAGGGGGUCACAAAGAGAGAAGGGGGUUCUAAGAUGGGGUGGGGGGGUGAGAGUGAGAGGAAGAGAGAGUUAGGGGGUUCUGUGAUGGGGUGCAAAGAGAGUGAAAAAAAGAGAGAGAAAGGUGGGGGUCUAGGGUUAGAGAGAGAAAGAGGUGGGGAAUAAAGAGAGAGGCUGUGCUGGCGGCGGCGGCAACGACGAUGACGACAGGAGGUUCGGGUGGGCCAAAGAGAGAGACAGAGAGAGCGAGAGAGAGAGAGAUUGAGCGAGAAAGAGGGGGGCAGGGAAGACAGGUCACGUAGGGAUGGUAUAGUACAAAGUGAAAACGGUGAAUGGUUCACCAUGUCUAAACACGGUAAUCUAUUCACUGUGUCUAAACACGGUGAACCAUUCACCGUGACUGGACAGAGUGAACCAUUCGCUGUGUUUAAACACGGUAAAUGGAUUACCGUCUUCAACUUAUUCCUGCACCCCCAACUCCUGCUUAUGGUGCUUACGUGGGGCUUGCGUGGCAGGAAUAGAACCAAAAUUGCAAUUAUAAACUUGGUGGGGCUAUUUGUGAAAAUAAUUUUUUUGAGGAGGCCAAAUGUAAAAAAAGCCCCCAAAAAAUUUAAAUUAAAAGAAAAAAAACUUUAGCCCAAGCCUAUCGAUCUCGGUGAGGCUUGAGUGUUCCCCUUUGAUCGAAGCAGCGAAGGUUUGUUCUCUACACUCUCUAAAUCCCUCUUCUUCGGUUUUUGCACUCAAGAUUAAAAAAACAGAAAAAAAAAAUCUCGUCUUGGGUCCUUCUUUUGGGUUUCUUUGAGCUGAAAAAGAAGGAUUUUUGUUUUGUUUUGUUUUAUUUAUCUGUUUGGAAAUUUUCUUGGAAGCCAAAGGUUUCAGAAUAGAAAUCAGAGUGUUAAGAUCGACUCUUUAUUUGAUCAGCGUUGAUCGACGUUAAGAUUCACUCGCAUUUUCAAAUAGUUUUAAAUGAUAUAACUUUCAUUCAAAGAUUACAAUUUUUGUCUCAAACAUUACAACUUUCGCCUAAAUAGUGCAACAUUCGUCUCAAAAAGUACAAUUUUUGUUUCAAAUAGCGUUACUUUUGUCUCAGACAGUGUAACUUUCUUCUAAAACAGUGUAAUUUCAUUUUCUUCUUUUUUCUCUAGUUCUUGUCCUUUCUUAUAGCAACGAUGAUACAUAAUGAUUUUUUCAGAAAAAAAUUUCUUUAUUUUAUUUUUUUAUUCUUUUUUUUCUAUCUUUUGUAUCUUUUUCUGCUAUCACGCCCUCUCCUUCCCUCUUUGCCACAGCAACCGUCCUCGUUGGAAGCGCUCUCCUGCCCUGUUGUCAUCAAAUCCUUCGGUAUCCUUCCCUCUUUGCCACAGCUACCGUCCUCGUUGGAAGCGCUCUCCUGCCCCGUUGUCCUCAAAUCCUUCGGUAUCCUCUCGCUGUCACCAUCCACUGCCUCAGCCAUGACCUCAUUGCCUUCAUCCGGUCCACCCUCACCCGUGCUCGCUCUUCCUUCUUCUCUGGUGCCGACGUCAAUGCUGACCCAUGGCAGAGGCGGAGGAAAAAGAGGCGGCGCCCUUGUUACCGCCGCCCACCGCCUCCCAGGGCAACAAAAGCAAUGGAGGAUGGAUGGAGACGAAAAAAAAGAACGAGAGAAGAAGAAAAGGAGAAAAAAAAAAAUAUUUUGUUCCAAAAAAUUCAUACAAAAUUUAUAAAAUUCAAAAUAGUGAUCUAGUUUUGCAAAUAUGCAAAACGGGGGAAUUUUUUUUUAUGCAAAAAGCCCUUUUAUUUUUUCGAGUUUCAACCCAUUCUUUGGAAAUCCUGUUAUUUCACCUAUGUACUUCUUCAUUUGCCCAAUGAAUUUUGUAUAUUUUUUUUCUCUAAAAAAACUAAGUAUUACUUGGAAGUAUUAUCAGCAUUACAGCAUAUCAGAUUAAUGCACGAACUUUUACUUAAAAAAUCUUUACAACUGCAACAGAGCAGUUUUUAAAGCAUCAAUCUUCGGUUGGUAAAAAGUAUUAAGCACAUAAUCAUUUUUUUAAGAAAUAAAUUUCAUUUUUUAAGAAAUAACUGUACAACAAAGGAGUAAAGCUGUCCAAAAUAUCUAAUAUCUCAUAUCCAAGUCAGACCCAAUAAAAAAUAAAUAAUAUACGAAUAUAAAAAAAUUCAUAUAAAAAUUUUAAGUAUACCCAACCUGAACUGAACCCGACCUUUUAAUGGGUAGGGUCUGAAAGGAUUUUCAUAUCCGAACCCAAACCCAGUAAAAUACCCGAUAAUAAAUAAAAAAAGAUUUGAAGUUGGGAUAUCAAUUUUAACAAGACUUGUAGAUGAGAAAUCUCUUUGUAUUUUUACUCUAGAAAACCUUAGCCGCCCUGUUUAUUCUUUUUUUUAUUUUACUUAUUUAUUUUACUCAUUUUUUGACCCUAGCCGCUCUGUUAACCGCUUAAAUAUUUCUUUGAACAAAUUUUAUUGGACUGGGUGCAACUGAUUAGAAUAUGAGAUUUUUCUUUUUAUAAUGACAUAUUUAUAAUUUCCUCAUGAACUUUUAAAUAAAAUCUAUAAAAAUAUAUAUACAUACGGAUACCUGCACCUGAUCUAAACCUAACCCGUACCCGUUCUUAAGCGGGUACUAUACAGGUCGUCACUACUCAUUCCCAUUCAAAUAAAUCCAAUGAGUAUAUUAUUAACUUAAAUAUCCAAAUAUGGACAUGAUUCGAAGUUAAAUAGGUAGGAUAUAUACAUAUUUUUUCUAUCUUUAUUUUUGUUUAAGGUACGGGUACAAUAUAUCAGACCGGACUCGGUCCACGGACAUCUUUACAAAGGAGUGUGCAUAAUCUCUCUGAGAAACAUCCUCUAAAAACUUCCAGUGUUUUAGCAGCAAAGAUAUGAAAUGCGGGGUCGGUAAAUUCCAAAAGCAUCCUUUAUUAAAUGUGUUGAAUAUAAUAGCUAGAUAAAUAUACAUCAAGGAAUAAAACUAUUAAAUAGCAGCUAUAGAAAAAGAGAGAAAAAAAAAGUUCAAAAUAUGGCAAAAUGGCCUCCUAGUUUGCAAUCAGCAGCAAACAAUGCAACAUGCCCAGAAUCUGAGACAAAGAAACAACCAUUUGUUUAAACUCCUUGAGUCGAGAAAUAUAGUAAGUUGCCGUUACAUAGUGCUUACCUAUUGAACACAGUACAAACCAAAAGACUGUUCAGUUGAUAAACUGCUACUUCAGGAUUUCACAGUCGACAAACUAGUGAUUCAAAAAUCAUGCAAAUCAUCGUAACGAUCAAGUUUGACAUCAAAAUUAAUUUUAGUUGCAGUGAAACAAUUUAAUAAACUAAUUUGCGUUUGAUAAGGUAACAAACAAUGUAGUACCCCAACGUCCAAAUACAGAAAACAUCCUGCACUGGAUAGCGAGGGGAACCAUUAUUUCUUGCUUCACUUGCUUAAGGACCCAUAAAACAGGACAUAUCCAUAGGCUCCUAGAAGAAUAUAAUGAAGCAGCAAAACAAAGUUUUUUUAAAAAAAAAUCAGAGAUUUUAAGUGUUAACUGGUUUCAGGCAUUGCCCCCCAUGCCGAUAAGAUAUCCGCACGAUACGAACUUGGUGCUGAUGGCAAUGUUCAAAACCCUUCUUUCUUGAAAUUAGCAAAUAGCUAUAUUAAUAAAGCAUAAAAUAUUUGAUAAAAAUAUAUAAUAAGCAAUUAGAAUAUAUUGAUGCCUAAAAAAAUAAAAUAUUUACGCCUUUGUGUUUCAACCGGCACGGCAUGGCAUCAUACGGCACCAUACCGGCGAGUGCUCGGCCAGUCCCGUGCUACAACACUUAAAUCCUGCGUCCAAAUAAAUUAACUAUUUGGAAAAAGAAAAAAAGAAGGAAUAUAACAAUAUAUCGAUUGCUGAGGCGCAAACGCAAUAACACAAAACUUAGUACUUGCAACAAACAAGGCUACUUUCCCUCAGCACAAAGCAAUAAAUAAUUUGGCUAAUACACGGCGCAACAGCCCCAUAAGAGCCUAGUUUGAUCUUAAAACAAGUUAUUUCUUUAUUUGGUUUUUUCUUUUUGAUUUCAGAUCCCCCUCAACUUAAAAUUGCUGUGAUUUGAGCUAUUUUCUUAGUCGAAUUUCCAAUUCGAUGAAAUUGUGAGUUGUUAAUAGUUAAUGAAUAGUUAAUGAAACCCGCAUUCCAUCAGGUGCAAGAAGUUCUGUUUGUUAAGUUAAUUACAUUCACUAUUAGAUUUGAUAAAAUUCCCAUUUAAACGCAAAGAAUAACUAAACUGAAAAAGAAAAAAAAAAAUCAGAAGUUAUGUCAAUCAGAACAAUCAUUGCGGCCUAUCUCAAAAUGGCCUAUAGUUGAGAGAAGCCCCUCGACAUUAACACAAACUAAUUAAAACUAUCACAUGCUUGAAAGAAUACAACGGAAUGCAUAUCGAAGCUGCUUGGAAGGUUAUAUAGGACUUUUAUUAGAUAUGGCGGCAUACCCUAAGUAACGCAACCGAUUGGAGAAACAUAUCAUUAUAUAUCAAAUUAAUAACUAGAAGAAAUGGACACAUCAACAUAAGAGGGAAUUUAACCUGCUGCUCAGGUGAAUCAAACGACAACUCAGUCCCUUAGAUGUUCUUUGAUUAUGCGAUCAUGUCCGCAGUAAUCAUUACAGGUCUGUAGGAUCAUCAUAGUUUGUCUAUUCUUCCACUGCGUGCAUGGUAGGCAAAAUUACAAAACAUCCCCCGGCACUUUGGCCAGCACCUCAAAUUACCUCUUAUUUCAGUCUAAUACUUCUUCACCACUAGCCCAAAUAGGUCUAAUAAUUUGAAAAAGAUUAUCAAAUCCUGAUUCAAAAUUUCACGAGUUCGCAUGUCACAGUGUUCUACAUUGUGAACAUCUAAUCUAAUUGCCACUUAAAUAGUAGAUAUUAAACUGGACAACGAUAAAUAUGGAUAAUACUAGCCACAAGUGAUCUGUUUCAGAGCUCGACAGUAAAAUGUUGAAUAAACUAAAGUGCCAGUUGUCUUCUUUUCUUUUGUUUUCUUUUUAUCUUGUAAUUUAGCUCACACAGAUAGAUACCCAAAAAAAAAAAAAAAAAGGAAUCCGAAUAGGCAAAAAAAAAAAAUUUAUAUUAGGAGAAGCACGGAGAUAUCAAUGUUGCUUCAAGGGAACGAAUCGAUCGGGCAAGAGAUAAAGAGCGCCGGUCGACCAGAUAAAGAAGCGUUGUUUCGAUGCCAAAGAAAUGCAAAUUUUAAAUGCAAAGUACCUUCAUCGAAGAACCCAGAGAGAGAGAGAGAGAGAGAGAGAGAGAGAGAGAGAGGAGGGGAGAGAGGAGAGAAGACGAUUACGGGAGGAAAACCCGUCGUUAGGACUGGGAAUUGAUUGUCUUGGCUAUGGUUUACAUUUAUAUGGAGGCUGGACGAGCAGGGAUCUCCGGGAGGUGCGGACGGCUUGGAUUAUUAUUGAGAUUAAAAAAUUAAUCUGUGGAAACCCUAAUUUCUGAACUGGGCCGAAGGCGACAAAAUACAAAAUGGACCGGCGUUCCCUUGCACAAUGCAGUGGAUUUAGAUCUAAAAUAUUUUAUUUAAUUAAAAUUUAGGGUUAACUACUCCUGUGAUUUCGCAGUUUCUUACUUUAGUACCAUAUGAUUUAAAAUGUAUCAAUUUAGUACCUAUGAUAUCUUUCUCUCUUUUCAUGAGUUUCUCCGUUAACUUUUUGUUAAAUUAUAUAUAAAAAAUUUUAGAUAUUACACAUAUGGCUUAUUGAAUAUUCACUUUAGUAUUUUUUAAUUUUAACUUUGUCACUGAUUUAACUAAAAAAAUUAAUGAAGGGGAGAACAAAAAGAGAAAAAUAAAACCACAGGAUACGAAAAUGAUACACUUUAAACCACAGGAUACUAAAAUGAGAAAGUGCGAAACUAUAGGGGUGAUAUUUAAAGUUUUUUUCUAAAAUUUAGUAAUAGUUUUUUUUAGAAUUAAUGUAUAUACAUCAACUCGACCAAUUUUAAAUGUAAUUGAAAGCUGAUUUGAGGUAAUAAUUCAAAUUAUUUUUUAUUUAUUUAUUUUUUUAACUAAUUUAUAUCUAUCUAUAUUUGUACUUGUUGAGCCCAUAAGGCGCGGCCAGCUGGUACGCCGACGCUCCAAUUAAAUCCAACCGGUAAAAGCAAGGAUUAUAAUGUGCACCAAGAGUUUUGAAAUAAAUUUAAACAACCGCCGGAUAAUUAGGGUGAGUUAUAAUAACCGCAAGUGGUUAUAAGUGGUUCCGAUCGGCUGGAAAUGACCCAGAAAAAUAGGAGUAGUGGUCGAUCAUGGAUGGGGAGUAACUGAUUAAUAGGGGCGAUCUAUAAAUAGGCAAAUAACGCCCUGAAAAGAGUUCCUUUCCCCGAGAACAGAAGACCACCUUUAUUUCCGCUGCAAUUUUCUUGCAUUUUUAGGAGUAGUCUACCUGUAACCCUUUACUUUCCUGCACUUACUGUUUUUCCCUAGGAGUAGAUUUAGGCUAGAUCAAUCGAGUCUGUAUGUCCUCAGCAACACUCGACCCUUGUACUGUUUUUAUAAGUUGACUUCAAUAUAUAAAGGCAUUCGGCUCAUCAGCCGACCUAAAUUUCAGUUACAUUCGGCUCAUCCAGCCGAAUCGAUUCUAUAGUAAGGGGUUCUGAACUUGGCUGAUCCGAUCCCUCAUCAGCCGAAUCGCUUGAUCCAGUUGAAUGGUGCAAACUUCAAGGUCAUUAAUCGUAGCCGCUUUGCAUCCCAACACAUUUCCCGAGAAAGAUCUUUGACCAGGUUAAAGAGAGGCAAAUUCGGCUCCUAACAAUUUUUGCCACGUCCGGUCGGACACCAAUUUAGGUAAAUUUAUAUUUUAUUGAAAUUAUGGCUGAUGAUAACGCCAUGAAUUUAUGCAAUAGGGUCGUUCCUAGAAAUUCUGAGAGCGAUCAACCUAGCAAUUCGGAUAAUGCUGGAGAACGCUAAGCGGUCUUGCCUGUCGAGGGUGAAGUCUAGUGGUCAAUCUGACCAACAAGAGCCUAUUUUGGCCCAAACGCUUGGACAAAUGACAUGGGUCAUACAAGUAUUGGACUAAAAUAGUUAUAGAAGCACUGCACGGUUAGACGCAGUAUUGGCCGCAAUCACAGCCUCCAACGAGAAUAUUGCCCGAAUAGGGCAAUUAUUGACUUGUAAUGAACAACCUGUAACAGGCUUACUUGUAAUGAACAACCUGUAACAGGCUUACAAUGGCCUGUAAGGACACCGGUGUUACAAAAUUCUGUAACACCGGCAAAUAAUCAGCCUCAAUACCAGGGGGCACCAUUUCAGGUGGCUUACAGACCGGCUGUUGUUAAUGCCGGUCAACAGCCAUAGAUAGCUUGGGGAUUACCACCUCCUCCAUCAGCGGCAGCAUAUCAACCCCAAAAUAUAGGGGCUAGAGCUGGGGGACAGGCUUAUGCCGUUCGGUUUAAAAAAUGCCGGAGCUACCUAUCAGAGAGCGAUGAAUUUUAUUUUUCAUGACUUGAUUGACAAGAUGUUGGAGGUUUACAUCGACGAUAUAGUUGUAAAAUCCAAAUCGCAAGUCGAUCAUUGGGCGGAUUUAAAACUCGCUUUUGAAAGAAUGAGAAAAUAUAAUUUGAAAAUGAACCCUUUAAAAAUAUACUUUUGGAGUUUCAGCAGGAAAUUUCUUAGGAUUCCUAGUACAUAAAAAAAGAGAUCGAAAUUGAUAAAAACAAAGCAAAAGCUAUAGUAGAAUUGCCGCCACCAAGAAAUAAAAAAGAGUUGCAAAGUCUAUUGGGAAAAAUUAAUUAUUUGCGGCGAUUCAUAUCAAACUUGGCCGGUAGAAUAGGAGUUUUCACUCCAUUAGGAUGCUUGUUGGCUCAAGAAAAUGAAGAAAAAGAAAAAAUGCCAUUUACUAUCUAAGCAAGCGACUGUUAGAUGCCGAAAAAUGAUAUUCGACAAUUGAAAAAUUAUGUUUGGCUUUAUACUUUGCCGGUACAAAAUUAAAAUAUUAUAUUUUACCAAUCGAAGUAUCGGUUGUAAUGUAUUAGAUUUUAAUAUAAAAUUAAGUGUAAAUAAAAAUAGUGGAAGAUACUAUUUUUAUUAGACUUAAAGAAGUAAAAUAUAGGUCGGAGAUGACUUGUGUUGAAAUCGGAAUUGAAACAGAAGAUUUAAAAUUUUCUGUAAGGAACGGGGCUGUUAUUUUAGCAGAAAAUGCACAGUGUCAGAAAAUUAUAAAAAUUUGAAAAUAUAUUAGGAUUAUUUUUAGGAGGUUAGAUUUAAAGUUUCAUGUCAUUCCAACACCUGAAAAGUGAAAAAUAAAAUCUGACUGCUAUCUGCUAGAGAUUACAGUUCGGUAGAGCUUUCAGUGACCAAAAAUGGUCAAAACUAGAAAGUUAAGAUAUUUUCUUUCUUAUUAGUUUAAAUCGAGCCUGACUGUCAAAUUUGAGCGCAAACGGACAUUCAGAAGGGCUCCGGCGAAAAGGAACAGAUUCUGAGCUGCUAAACUGAAAAUUGUGUGUUGUUGAGGGGCUAUUUUAUAAAAGGGAUUUUGAU